RNAcentral lists this long non-coding RNA (49042 nucleotides) under Nicotiana tabacum (common tobacco). RNAcentral describes it as "long non-coding RNA (NTAB_LNC012827)". Lineage: Eukaryota; Viridiplantae; Streptophyta; Magnoliopsida; Solanales; Solanaceae. The record is from RNAcentral.
AUGAUCUUGAAAACUAUAAUCGCUGAUGCCUUGAUUCAAUGUUAUCUAUUUCUAUAACCUCGUUAAUCAUGUGUUAAUAUCCAAAAAUAACUCGCAACUACUUUCAUUGAUCUAUGUUGCAUUACAAAAGAGACUUAGUGUAUCAUUUCAUUUUACUUAACAAAUUUCAUAACAGAUUUAGAUUUCAUACGUUCUGGACAUCCCAUGCUUAUAAAAAAUUUAGGAAAAUAAUCAUGAACAUCGUAGUUUGCUUUAGCCACAUUCAAUAAAUUAUCGUGGCCAUGGGUACAGUUCCCAUGGCAUGGGCAUGAUACGUAAAUCCCAUUCGGGUGUGCAUUUCAUAUAAUCCGAUCAUAACUUCAAACAAUAAUGAAAUACAUAUGUUGUAGAUCGUGGGUACAGUUUUCGUGACACGAUUUAUAACAUGUACAAAAACAAACAAGUGUACAACAAUCGUAACUUGUUCCAGAAAUAAUUUCAUAAAUAUUUAAAAGUGGUAUAAAAUUAAAAAUGCACAAUAGGUUCUAAACAUGUGAUAAAUUAGAUAAUUAGGCCAAUUAUUAAUAGUUGAGCGACCGUGCUAAAACCGCAAAACUCGGAAGCACCUAACACCUUUUCCCAGAUUAACAGAAUUCCUUACCCGGUCUUCUGUGUUCGCGGAACAAAAAUAGAGUCAAUUUUCUCGAUUUGGGAUUUAAAAUAAACCGGUGACUUGGUACAGCGAUAAUUAUUUCAAGUGGUGACUCUGAAAAAUAAAAUAAAUAAUCCGAUUUCGAAUAAUGUCACUUUAAUUAAAAAAACUCCCUACCUCCCUUGGGAAAAAGAGAGGUGUGACAACUCUGGCGAUUCUGCUGGGGAUUAGAACUCAGAGCUUCUGGUUCAGGAUUCAAGAAUUCGAGCUUAGAAUAAUUGUUAUACUUGGCUUUUAUUUAUUAUCUGAUUUUCAUUACAUGUUGAGCCUGAUGUGCUAAAUGCCCUUUUUUACCACUUUGAUAUUGUUUGAACUGUAUAUAAACUGUUGUAAAACCCUUCUUCUCGAUGAGUCUUCUAAAUCUUCUGGGAUGUGCACGCUGACAUGACUUCUUUUCUGUUAGAGUCAUACCAUAAUUUAGAACGAGGCAUAGAUCAGUUACAAAGUCGGAUAGCCUUUUGGUUACCAGUACGUUGCCCCCCCCCCAGAUCGAUUUGUCCACUCGAGUAAGCUAGGUCUAGAACAAUACACCCAGGUUUUAAACGUAAAAUAACAUAGCCUCAUAUCGGAUCCCUCGUAGGAACGUUUGUUUGCAUCACGUGCAUUUGUCUUUGGGGACUUAACAUAGGGGUUGGGUCCAUCUAGGACAGGUGUACCCAAAAAUCAAAAGACCAUCCUGAUGCAUUUUUACGUGCUACUCGUACAUUUAUUUGCUUCGGUUUGUAUGUUGACCGGUUUCAAGAAUAGGGAAGAAAAGUCUGGAAAAACCAAUUUGAGGUAAGAGAGAGAAAAUUACCCGUUUUUUGAAAAAAAACCUGGUGUUCAAAAUAUCCUGAAACUCUUCCAAAAUUUUGAAAAAAAAAAAGAAAAGGUCAUUUCAAACUAAGUCAUGUUUUCCUGUUACAACAAACUGACCGAACUAUGCGGGUUUGAUUCUCACCGGAUGUGAGAUACGUAGGCAACCCUCAUCAGUUCCAGCCCCGCUCCUUUUUGCAAAUGACCAAAAUAUGAAAUGUCAUUAUUUUUUCUCAUAAAUAAAGUUAGGUGAUGCCGUUUUUGUCUAAAUAGCCAGAAAUGUCCCGCUGGGACGCUGGAAGGCCCUUUUUGUAAGAAUAGCCACCAACAGUCCCUUUGUCAAUUUUUGGCCACCUAGCAAACACAACCCUAAAAGCUUCCCUUCUUAAGUGCUGAAGGGCCGUAUUUGCAAAAGUAGUCAUGAUUUGCUUUAAUUUGAAUUUUUGCAAAAAUAACAUUUUGAUCAGUUUUUAAACAAAAGCUCACAUAUUUUAACCCAGUCACCCUAAUCUAAAUGUGCAGCAUGAGCAUGGUUCAGAAUUUACCGAUGAAGGAUAUGACUCAGAUUCCAUUGGCACUUCACAUGUGGUGGGAGGAUUAGGGAAAACAGGGACGAGACAAGGUCAACCAAUACUUGAGGGCACUCACUGAAUUAUUGAAGAUUAAAUCUAGAAGUGAUGUAAUAGAUGCAUUAAUAACAUUCUGCGACCCUGCUCACAAUGUUCUGCAUUUCUCAGAUUUUAAGCUCACACCUACCUUGGAGAAAAUGGCAGGUUAUGCUGGGAGUACAGAGGGCUUAAGACACAAAUACUUGAUAGCUCCAAAGGUCGUUACUCCCCACAAGUUUCUAGACUUAAUAAAAAUAAGCAGGUAGAUCCAGAAUGAAGAUUUGGUAGGUGGAUUUUCCACUUUACACUUUCUAUACCAGCAGUAUGGGAAUUUCAGAGCAUUAGAGGACCUAGAAAGUGGACUCUGCAGUAACGGAAAUCGAUCAAAGUGGGAAAUACAUAGAUGCUUCGCCUUCAUGGUGGCAUUUUGAGGCCUCUUAGUGUUUCCAAGGAAGGACUGGAACAUUGAUUUGCGUGUAGCUAGUGUUGUCCAUAUUUUGACUACCAAUGCCAAGAGUACCCUCGCACCCAUGAUCGUAUCAGAUAUAUUCUGAGCUCUCACAGCCUGUAAGGCCGUAGUAGAGUUUUUUGAGGGGUGCAAUCUGUUAUUGCAAAUGUGGAUGAUCGAACAUCUUUCUCAUCGUCCUCGAUACAUGAACUACGGGUCUACAGAAAAAAGCUGGAUCGAGGAGUUUGGUACAUGAGUAACCGGAUUUGAAAUACCAGAAGGGGUCAAAUAUUGGAUAUCCCACCUUCGUUCUAUAACUGCGGAUCAGAUAGAGUGUACACUAGGUUGGCUUUCCGUUGAUGAGAUUGUAUACAUGCCCGCCACCGGUCCCUACUUCCUACUAAUGGGUCUCUGAAACAUCCAACUCUAUGCCCCAUACCGGAUUUUGAGACAACUUGGAAGAUUCCAGAUAGUUCCCAAAGACGAAGAUCUUAGUAUUCAUGUAGUUGAAAUCUGUUCUGAAGCUCAAUUUCUUAAAGAAGCGGUUCGAUGAAUUUGGAGCGAAUGCCAGUAUUUGGGGGCAAACACCCGAGUACGUGAUUUAUCCAGGGGCAAGAUUUCGCCUGGUUAUCUUGAUUGGUAUGGGAAGAGAGUCGCGGUAAAUGAUGAAUCUAAAAGGCCAACCAAAAGGCCCUACAUCCAAGAGUUUGUUGACACAUCGCAAGAAAAAUAGGCUUGGUUAACCAAAAAGAAUGACUAUAGGGCUGCCAUAAGCAAACUAGAAGGGCAAAUCAGAAACAUUAAGGUUGAUAGUGGUUUGCAGGCCGCUGUGGAUGAAGAAGAAUAAAAAAGGUUGGCGCAACAAAGUGAAGCCCUCCUAGCUCAGAUUUAGAGGAUGAAAAUAGCUGCUGAAAACCCGGGAAGAAGCAAAACAGAUGAAAAACUCAUAAACAAUCUUAGACGAAAAGUGUGUGAUUAUGGGGCUAACUUGGAAAAGGCCAAAGAUGAAUUGGCAAAAGCUCGAGCAAAGAAUGCAUAAGAACAGACGAGGUUUGCUCAGUAGCUAAGGGAAAGGUAUGACAGAUGAGUCACAGUUUUAAAGAGGAAGCUGACUACUCUCGAAAAUAAAAUGGCCCAGCAAACAAAGAAUUUCAAAGCGGAAAGAGAGCAUUGCUAUACGUUGAUGUCCCGACUGGAAGAAGAUAUGCAUCAACUGCAAGAGCAAAAGCAUAUGGCCACACAGGUUUUGGAGGCUCAGUCUCAGCAAAUUGGAUGCCUACUCCAUGAGAAGUGUGUCACUAGAGCAAAGAUUAAAAAAAUUGCUAAUUAUGUUGUAAUGAAGUGCCAUAAAUGCGAGGAUAUGACCAGGUCCAUGUUCUUCGCUAAUGUGAUGACUUUUGUCCGUCAAGUGAUGGACGACCUAGACCGUCUCCAAGAAUAUAUUGCACGCAGGCGCGUGUCGAGACCGACUGAUGUCCCGCGGGCCCCUGGAGUAGUAAUACAGGCUCUUAUGUAUUCCUGAUUUUCUUUAUGAGUUUGUAUUUCACUUCUUCGAGUCUGUUAGUCUUCUCCAAGUUUGUUUUUGUUUUUUAGUUCUUAAUUCUGUAUGUCCGAGUCUUUGUAAUAGAAAAAACCAAAAAGUUUUUAUUUAAUGAAAUAUUGAAAACCCAAAAAUUUUCUUUCUUUUAUUUCGCAUUUAGCCCCUGAACUACUAAUAAUCUGAUUCAUACGGUGUCUCGAUACGUAAACAAUCCCCAUCGGAUCCGAUCAUAGCAAUAGACAACCUGAGUAGUAAACCAAAAAAAAGAGAAAGAAAAAGAAAAUCGAAUAAAAAGAAAGAAAGAGUGAAGAAAACAAAAGAGCACAAAGAAAGAAAGGAUUCAGGAUUUGAAAGUUGAUAGCACAGCCGGGAUGAAACACACAGCCGUUGCGAGAAUAUCUAUCGAAUCCGCUAGUGUUGGUCCCACCCAAGCCUGAGAGACCUUUGUUCCUGUACCUUAAAGUCCUGGAAAAUUCUUUCAGCUAUGUCCUGGGGCAAUAUGAUGUGACCAGGAAGAGAGAGCAAGCCAUAUACUAUUUGAGCAAGAAGUUCACUAGUUAUGAAGCCAAGUACACUUUGUUGGAAAGAACUUGUUGUGCCCUAACUUGGGUCGCUCAGAAGCUUAUGCAUUACUUGUUGGCCUAUACCACAUAUCUCAUAACCAUAUUGGACCCCCUAAAGUACGUAUUCCAAAAACCGAUGCCCUCAGGAAGGCUAGCAAAAUGGCAAAUCAUGCUCACUGAGUUUGUCAUUGUCUAUGUCACCCGCACGACGAUGAAAACUCAAGCCUUGGCGGAUCACCUAGCUGAGAAUCCUGUUAAUGAUGAAUAUCAACCCUUGAGUACUUACUUUCUGGAUGAGGAAGUAGAUUCAGUUGAGGUAAUUCCAAAAGACACCAAUGCUUGGAAAAUGUUCUUUGACGGAGCUAUAAAUGCAAAAGGUAUUGGGAUUGGUGUAAUUUUGAUUUCGCCCACUGGUCAGCACUAUCCGGCCACAACCCGGCUUCGGUUCUUUUGUGCAAACAACACUGCCAAAUAUGAAGCUUGCAUUAUGGGCAUGAACAUGGCAACUGAUCUGGAUGUGAAGAAUUGUUGAUCAUGGGAGAUUUCGACUUAAUUAUUCGACAAGCUCAAGGUGAAUGGAAAACUCGAAAUAUCAAGCUUAUCCCAUACAUGCAACAUGUAGAAGAUCUUAGCAAACGGUUCAAGUUCGUCGAAUUCAGGUAUAUUCCCCGGUUCCACAAUGAGUUAGCUGAUGCACUAGCUAUGUUGCCUCAAUGCUGCCAUAUUUGGGCAAUGUCCACAUUGACCUACUGGAAAUCCAAAUUCGAGAAAGACAUGGUUAUUGCAAUGCAGUUGAAAUAGAACCAGAUAUUCAGCCAUGGUAUCAUGAUAUCAAAAGAUUCUUGAAAACAAAGGAAUAUCCCGAGUAAGCCAGUGGAGACCAAAAGAGAACCACUAGAAGGCUCGCCAACAGUUUCUUCUUUAGCGAAGAGGUCUUGUAAAAAAGAACUCCAAAUUUGAAUCUUUUAAGGUGCGUAGAUGCCCAAGAGGCUGGAAAAAUCAUGAACGAAGUGUAUUCGGGAGUAUGUGGCCCCAUAUGAACGGAUACGUCCUUGCCAAGAAAAUCCUUCGGGCAGGUUAUUACUAGAUGACCAUGGAAAAGGAUUGCUUCAGUUUUGUCCGAAAGUGCCAUCAGUGUCAGGUACGCGGUGACCUGAUUUAUGCACCGCCUUCAGAUUUGCAUCUUAUUUCAGUGCCUUGGCCAUUCGUUGCUUGGGGUAUGGAUGUCAUUGGGCCGAUCGAGCUGAAAGCUUCAAAUGGGCACAGAUUAAUUUUAGUUGCCAUUGAUUAUUUCACAAAGUGGGUUAAAGCAGUCACUUUCAAAGCCGUCACCAAGAAAGCGGUGGUGGACUUCAUGCAUUCCAACAUAAUUUGUCGUUUUGGUAUUCCUAAGACUAUCAUUACUGAAACUGCUGCAAACCUAAACAACCAUUUGAUGAGGUAGGUAUGCGAACAAUUUAAGAUCACACAUCAGAAUUCUACUCUUUAUCGGCCCAAAACUAAUGGUGUUGUUGAAGCGGCAAACAAGAAUAUCAAGAAGAUCCUCAGAAAAAUGAUUCAAAGUUCUAGACAAUGGCAUGAAAAGCUGCUUUUUGCAUUAUUGGGAUACCGCACAACCGUUCACACAUCUGUUGAGGCAACACCCUAUUUAUUGGUUUAUGGCACUGAAGCUGUAAUACCUGCAGAAGUUGAGAUUCCCUCUCUUCAAAUCAUUGUUGAAGCUGAGAUUGAGGACAAUGAAUGGAUCAAGAUGUGUUUAGAACAAUUAACCUUGAUUGAUGAAAAGUGGAUGGCCACAGUCUACCACGGGCAGUUAUAUCAACAAAGAAUGGCCGGUGCCUAUAACAAGAAAGUGCGGCCUAGAAACUUUGAAGUGGGGCAACUCAUUCUAAGACGUAUUCACCCGCAUCAUGAGGAAGCAAAAGGAAAGUUUGCUCCAAAUUGUAAAGGUCCGUACAUUAUAAGAAAACUAUUGCCGAAAAGGGCAUUGUACUUGGGAGACACUGAAGGAAAUGACCCUAAAACAACUGUCAAUGCGGAUGCGGUCAAAAGGUAUUAUGUUUAACCCCUUUUGCAGUAUUAAUAUUUCUCUUAUUGGGGUGACGAAGGAUUUCAUUCUUGCUACCCAAACACUAUCAACCAUUUGCAAACCCUUUGAGCCGGUUACUUUUCUUUGAUUACUCUCUUUGAAACCUAAAAGUGCUAUUGAACAAAAAACAAAAGAAAUCAAAAAAACAAAAGUUCCUUGAACUACGUUAGACUUGAUUCCGAAAGGAUACGUAGGCAGCCUCUUUUAGUCACACCAAAAUAAAAUCCACAAUUCCUUAAGUUGAAACUGGACAGAAGUUACAAUGAUUCGGCGAUGGUUUUGCCUGAAAGGUUCCAAAGUUGUAAUUCAAUUCAAAUUCUUUUUACCCUAAAUCCUAAUCAAGUCCUUCCGAUCAAUCGGUAAAGAUGUUCCAAAUUGGAGGAUAUGAUUACGUAAAUGAGAGAAAUAAAAUGAGAGUCUUAUUGGUGAAAACCCUUACGGGCACAAUAGGGCGAUGGUAAGCGGAGAAAUUGGAAACGAGAGAGUCUUAUUAGUGAAAACUUGCAAAGAGCACUAUAAGGCAAAAGUGAGAAGAGAAAUAAGAGAGGUCAGUUGGUAAAAACCUACAAAGGUCGCCACUGAUCGAAAAGGGGAUCCUCACAGUCAUCGGUAUCGCCAGAGUCCUGGCAAGGUUUCUCAGUUUUGAGGUAUGAGUUAUGAUGAGUUUAUGAGAGUUGGACGGUGUAAACAGAUCAUGUAUCCAGUCUAAGAGGCAUUUCAUGUUCAUUGAAGUCCUCAUGUACUCCAGAUAAGUCCUUUUUUCUUUUCCCCGAAAGAGACACCUCUCAUUUAAAUUCAUUACACUUUCCAUUUGUUUAUUUUUCUUUGAGUCCCUUUUAGUUUAAUUCUGUUUCGACAUUAUAACAAAGAAAGGACGACAAGAUUGAUUUACAGGGUUUUAUCUGAUACAAGCCAAUAUUCAAGAAAGCACCUAGCCUCGGCAGAUGCAUCGAGUCGACUUUGACUGGACAUGAUGACCGAUGCUUUGAAAUCAAAAACUCCUGAAAAGAAAGAAAACCAAAGUGAAAGGCCUACAAAGGUGUUUGCAAAAUAUGAUUUUAUAUAGUUAUUAAUAUUACUACUUUCGAAUAUGUUUUAAAUUAUACAAAUAAUAUGAGAAAGUUUAUGAUUUUUUCUUUAUUAUAAAGAUAGAAAUUAUUUUCUCACAAGAAAAGAAGGUUAUCUUUUUACCAAUUUAAGAAUUAAGCGUACGGGAAUUUUUACUCGUUAUAUGAGAUUAGAAAAAAUUAGAAGUUGAGAAAAUACGUGCAUUAUUUUUACAUGGACAUUUUAAUGAAAUAACAGUGUAUGUAUUUAUUUUAUAUGGUACCACAUGACCAUGAUAGUAAGUUAUAUAAAGUGUGUUAAAAAUGAGUUACAGAGUGGUCCGCUCGGGCCAGCACGUCACUGGGUGCCAGCCACGCCUCCCCAGGUUUGGGGUGUGAUAAAGUGGUAUCAGAGCGGGUCGUGUCCUAGGGAGUCUACAAAGCCAUGCCUAGUAGAGUCUCACUUAUGGGUGUGUUGCGCUCUACAUUUAUAAUUGAGAGGCUAUAGGGCAUUUAGGAGAUGUUACCGUUCUUUUUUUUUUUCAAAUCGUGCCAUAGAGCUGGGUCGUACGAGUCAGUAUGAAGCUUUCGCUAGAUUUUGUAUGCACCAGAAGUGCAAGUAUCACACUAGAGCUUUAAGGCGUAAUGUGGAAGGGAGGUUAUGAAAGAAGCAGAAGAUACGAUGCGAGAUUGAAAAAUAAGUAAGGUAAAGGUGAAAAAGAUACGAGAUACUCAAGUACAAAAGGUUGUGAGUAGUAGAGACUUUAGAUAUAGUUUGACUUUUAGUUUAAUUUACAGAGGAGACCCUAACAAAAGUUUUGUAAAUCUCUAAGAAUUAACAUUCGAGGACGAAUGUUCCAAAGGGCGGAAGGAUGUUACGNNNNNNNNNNNNNNNNNNNNNNNNNUAUAUAUAUAUAUAUAUAUAUAUAUAUAUAUAUAUAUAUAUAUUUAAUAUGGUAUUUUGAGUAGAAAACUUUUGUACAAAAAAAUGGGUUGAAAAAUAUGAUUUCAUAUAGUUAUUAAUAUUACUACUUUCGAAUAUGUUUUAAAUUAUACAAAUAAUAUGAGAAAGUUUAUGAGUUUUUCUUUAUUGUAUAGAUAGAAAUUAUUUUCUCACAAGAAAGAAGGUUAUUUUUUUUACCAAUUUAAGAAUUAAGCGUAAGAGAACUUUUAUUCUUUAUAUAAGAUUAGGAAAAAUUAAAGUUGAGAAAAUACGUGCAUUAUUUUUACAUGGAUGUUUUAAUAAAAUAAUAGUGUAUGUAUUUAUUUUAUAUGGUACCACAUGACCAUGAUAGUAAGUUAUAUAAAGUAUGUUAAAAGUGAGUUACAGAGUGGUUCGCUCGGGCCAGCACGACACCGGGUGCCAGUCACGCCUCCCCAGGUUUGGGGUGUGACAAAAGGCAAAAUAAAUUCAAAAAAGGAUGAGUCCUAAGCAACCAACCGUCAUGAAAAAGUCUGGAAAAGCCAGAUGUUAUCCAGGGUCAAAAAUGCAAUCGGUAUUUAGGAAACAACUAAUUGCAGAUGAAAGGGGCCGAGAUUAAGUGGUUGAAAUAAUCAAGGCCACAAAACCAACCACCGUUUCAAACUAACCAUUAUUCUUUGUUUAAGAAACAGGAAACAUGUGUAAUUCAAAGGAACCUUGCAAGAAGCAAGUGCAAUAAAAGAAACUGCGCAGAGACUAAAAUGGCUCUGCAGCAAUAAUGAAUCCAAACAGAAAUUAUACUCCAAAUUCUCUCCCACAUUUUACUCACUCGUUUUAAAUAAAAAUGAUGAAUGAAAAAAAAAGAAAAAAUAAAAAUGAAAUGAAAUAAAAAGAAAGAAAAGAAGAAAAGUUCAAAUCAUGGUAGUAUAGGGUCUCCAAUCCCUAGCAGCAUUUUUUCCAACAUAGUGUCUUAACUCCCUAGUUGAUGCCAGAAUAACCUGAUGAUUUUCCGACAUAGGGUCCCACUCCCUAGUUGAUGCCAGCAUAACCUGAUGACUUUUCUAACAUAGGGUCCCACUCCCUAGUUAAUGCUAGCAUAACCUGAUUACUUUUCCAAUAUAAGAUCUCACUCCCUAGUUGAUGCCGAUAUGACCCGAUAACUUUUCCAACAUAGGGUCCCACUCCCUAGUUGAUGCCAGCAUAACCUGAUGAUUUUCCGACAUAGGGUUCCACUCCCUAGUUGAUGCAGGCAUAACCGAAUGAGUUUUCCAACAUAGGGUCUCACUCUCUAGUUGAUGCUAGCAUAAACUGAUGACUUGUCCAACAUAGGGUUCCACUCCCUAGUUGAUUGUCACGACACUAGUUCGCCCUCCGUGAACUGUCGUGACGGUACCUAGUUUCUACGACUAGGUAAGCCUAACAAAUGCAGAAAAUAAACAAUUUGCAGAAGAAAUAAUUAAAACCAAGAUAACCGAAUUAAACAGUAUUUAAGAUGCCGCUUGGCAUAUACAAUAAAACUUUUGAAUUUAACAACAUUUCCCAAAACCCGGAAUCUCGUGAAACCACAAGCCUUUGAAUGUCUACAAGUUUCUAACUCCAGAAUGUCUAAAAAAAGUACAGAAGGGUUAAUACUUAAAGAGAGAAUAGAAAGGGACUCCUCGGUCUACGGAUGCGAAAGAUAUACCUCAAAGUCUCUGGAAAAAAUUCGCCCUGCCUCAAGGGUGAUAGGACUAAGUCAAAGUACCUGGAUCUACACAUGAAAGACAUGCGCAGAAAGGGCAUGAGUACACCACAACGGUACUCAGUAAAUGCCAAGCCUAACCUCAGUCGGGUAGUGACGAGGAAGGUCAGGGCCCUACUAAGAUUAAAUAAAAUAUAAGGUUUAACAGUAUAGAACAAAACAGUAUAACUAAGUACCACAAUCAAAGUAACACAUGAUAGAAAGAACAACAAUAACUACUAUAGAGGCAAAGUAAACACAGAAAGAAAUACAGCUCAACACAAAGAUAACAACCGAGGAUUUUUCAGAAUACAAUCCUGUAGUCCCAAAUAUAAAUAUCCAGUGGAUCUCCCGGAUAUCGUCCCGUAGUCCAAUUCAUAAUGCGAGGGGAUCUCCCGGAAUAUCGAUUUGUAGUCCCAAAUGUAAAUACUCAGUACAGGGAAAAUCUACCGGGUGCUGUCCCAUAGUUCCCAUGUAAAUGUGCAGGGGGAUCUCCCGGAAUACCGUUCUGUAGUCCCAAAGUAAACAUACAGGGGGAUCUCCCGGGAUACCAUCCCGUAGUCCCAAAAUAAACACACAGCAACAACAAGAAGAAUACACAGUUCAAUUUAAGUUCCAUACUAAGGUAAAACAGGUAUUUCUAACCAACAUUUUGCACGUAAUCCAAAUAAGGUAGUUUGAGCAAGUAAGGCAAUUAAGUCAAUUAGGCAUAUUUUUCUAAGCUAACAAUAUGCUUAAAUUGCAAGCGGUACAAACAGAAAAAGAAACAUAAUCGUAAUUACUUAAUGAAAAUCGAAUUUUCAACAAUUAGCACAAGUACGCACUCGUCACCUCACAUACCAAUAAUACUGAAUUCUAAGGGGAGUUCCCCCACACAAGGUUAGACAAGCCACUUACCUCGAACCAACUCAAAUUCAACCCGAAACCACAUUCUUGCCAUGAGUACUCGACUCCAAAUGGCCCAAAUCUAUUUAAUUCAAUUGCAUAAUGUAAAUAACACUUCAAGUAACUGAUUCUAUAAAUAAAUUCUAAGCUAAUACGCAAAAUUAGGUAAAAUGAAAAAAAUGCCCUCCGGGCCCAUGUCUCGUAAUCGGGUAAAAUUUAAAUUUUUAGAAUUCUCAUACUUUCAUGAGUUCAGUUAUACUAAAAUUACCAAAAUUGGACCUCAAAUGGUCCCUCAAAUCAUCAUUCAAAGCUCUCUAAUUAACCAAGUCCUAACCCCCAAUUUACCACUGAUUUUCCAUAAAUUUUCAUGCUUACAAUGAUACAAAUCACCUCAAUAACGAGUUUAAGGACCAAAGACCUUAACCCAAUGAAUUCCUCUGAAAAUCUCCCUUGAAAAUGCUCCCCAAAACUUCUUCCCGUUUGAAAAGAGGUGAAAAAUAACUCAAAUUCGCGAAGGCAACUAUUUAUAUGUUCUGCCCAGCGAAUUCGCUUCUGCGGUCAUGGGACCGCACUUGUGGUCCCGCUUUUGCAAAACAAAAGUCGCAUCUGCGACAAUUCACUAAACUCAGAUUUCGCACCUGCGGUUACCCAUACGCAGAUGUGAUACCACUUCUGCGGUGAAGCUCCCACUUCUGCGGCUCCUACUGGCUCUCGUCCUCUCCGCUUCUGCGAUUCUAGCGCCGCUUCUACGGCUCGACACCUGCGGGACCCAACCACAGAUGCGGUUAUUACAGAAAUUAGCAGCUUCAGCUGUAACUCCAAAUUCCAAAUCCUUCCGCCAACCAUCCGAAAUCACCUAGAGGCCCUCGGGACCUCAACCAAAAGCACAAACAAGUCUAAUACCACUCUCCAAACUUAUACCAAUCCUUAAAAUGCCUAUAACAACAUCGAAACAUCGAAUUAACCACGGAUUCAAGCCAAAGAACUCCAAAACUCUCAAUUUACGCUUUCGAUCAAAAAGUCUAUCAAACCUCGUCCGAAUGACCUGAAAUUUUGCACACAUGUCACAUUUAACACUACGGAGCUACUCCAACUUCCAGAAUCCCAUUCCGACACUUAGAUCAAAAUCUCACUAUCGAACGGGAAACUUCAAAAAUUCAACUUUCGGCAGUUUAAGCCUAAAUUAGCUACGGACCUCCAAAACACAAUCUGAUCAUGUCCCUAAGCCAAAAAUCACUCAAUGGAGCUAACGAAACCAACAAAAUUCCAUUCCGAGGCCGUCUUCACACUGCUCUGAUUACGGUCCAAUUUCUAGAACUUAUACUCUCAUUUAGGGACUAAGUGUCCCAAAACACUUUGCAACUCAAAACCAAAUAUCCCGACGAAUCGAAAUAGCAGAAACAAACACGGAAAAAAUAGUUAAUAAGGGAUCGGGGCAUAAUUUCUUAAAAUAACCGGUCGGGUCAUUACAUCCUCCCGCACUUAAACAUUCGUUCAUCCUCGAAUGAGCAUAGAGACAUACCUGAAGUAGUGAAAAGAUGAGGGUAACAGUUGCUCAUAUCCUGCUCAGUCUCCCAAGUCGCCUCCUCAACCGACUGACCCUGCCACUGAACCUUCACUGAUGCAAUGUUCUUUGAUCUCAGCUUUCGAUCCAGUCUGUCCAAUAUUGCCACUGGCUCCUCAACAUAAGAUAGAUCCUUGUCCAUCUGAACUGAACUGAAAUCCAGCAUGUGCGACGGAUCACCGUGAUACCUCCAGAGCAUCGAAACAUGAAAUACCAGAUGAACCCCUACCAAGCUGGGAGGUAAGGCGAGCUCAUAAGCAACCUCCAUAACAUGCCUCAAUAUCUCAAAAGGGCCAAUAAACCCAGGACUCAACUUCCCUUUCUUCCCAAAUCUCAUAAUGCACUUCAUGGGCGAAACCCGAAGUAGAACCCGCUAUCCAACUAUAUAGGAAACAUCACGAAUCUUUCGGUUCGUGUAACUCUUCUUUCUGGACUGGGAUGUGUGGAGUCUAUCCUAAUCACCUUAACCUUCUCCAAAGCAUCCUUAACCAAGUCGGUUCCCAAUAAUCUUGCCUCAUCCGGCUCAAACCAACCUACCGGGGAUCUAUACUGCCUGCCAUAUAAAACCUCAUAUGGUGCCAUCUGAAUGCUGGACUGAUAGCUGUUAUUGUAGGCAAACUCCGCCAAUGGCAAGAACUAAUCCCAAGACCCUCCAAACUCAAUCACACACGCACGAAACAUAUCCUCAAGAAUAUAAAUAGUGCGCGGUCUGUCCGUCUGAGGGUGAAAUGUUGUACUCAACUCCACCCGAGUACCCAACCCAUGUAGUACGUCCCUCCAGAACUGUGAUGUGAACUGAGUACCUCUUUCUGAAAUGAUGGAAACUGAAUACCAUACAGAUGAACAAUCUCCCAGAUAUAAAUCUCCGCUAGACGCUCCGAAAAUAGGUAGUAUACACAAGAAUGAAAUGCGCGGACUUGGUCAGCCGAUCCACAAUCACCCAAAUGGCAUCGAGCUUCCUCAAAGUUCGUGGGAGCCCAACUACAAAGUCCAUGGUGAUCCGCUCCCACUUCCACUCCGGAAUCUCUAUCUGCUGAAGCAACCUACCCGGUCUCUGGUGCUCAUACUUCACCUGCUGACAAUUGAGGCACCGAGCUACAAACCCAACUAUGUCUUUCUUUAUCCGCCUCCACCAAUAGUGCUAUCUCAAAUCCUGAUACAUCUUCGCGGCACUCGGAUGAAUGGAAUACCGCGAGCUAUGGGCCUCAUGUAAAAUCAACUCCCGAAGCCCAUCUACAUUGGGUACACAUACACGACCUUACAUCCUUAAUACCCUAUCAUCACCAAUAGUUACAUCUCUGGCAUCACCGUGCUGAACUUUAUCCUUAAGGACAAGCAAAUGAGGGUCAUAAAACUGACGCUUCCUGAUACGAUCAAAUAAGGAAGACCAAGAAACCACGCAAGCUAGAACCCGACUAGGCUCCGAAAGAUCCAAUCUCACAAACUGGCUGGCUAAGGCCUGAACAUCUAUCGUCACGGGCCUCUCCGCUGUUGGUAAAUAAGCCAAGCUCCCCAAACUCUCUUCCUGAUGACUCAAAGCAUCAGCCACCAUAUUGGUCUUGCUCGGGUGAUACAAAAUAGUGAUAUCAUAGUCCUUCAGCAACUCUAACCACCUCCUCUGGCGCAAAUUAAGGUCCUUUUGCUUGAACAUAUGCUGCAAGCUCCAAUGGUCAGUAUAAAUCUCACAAGGAACACCGUACAAAUAAUGGCGCCAGAACUUCAAGGCGUGAACAAUCAAGGUCGUGGAUAGGAUAAUUCUUCUCAUGAACCUUCAACUGUCUGGAUGCGUAGGCAAUCACCCUACCGUCCUGCAUCAAUACUACUCUAAGGCCAAUCCUCGAGGCAUCACAAUAGACAGUGUAAGACCCCGAACCUGUAGACAAUAUCUGGGUUGUGAUCAAAACUAUCUUGAGAUUCUGAAAAACUCACCUCACACUCUUCUGUCCACUAGAAUGGAGCGCCCUUCUGGGUUAGCCUGGUCAUAGGGGCUGCAAUCGAUGAAAACCCUUUCACAAAACGACGGUAGUAACUCACCAAGCCAAGAAAACUACGGAUCUCUAUAGCUGAGGAUGAUCUGGGCCAACUAUGCACUGCUUCUACUUUCUUCGGAUAUACCGAAAUACCCUCACUCGACACCACGUGGCCUAAGAAUGCUACAGAAUCCAACCAAAACUCAUAUUUUUAGAACUUAGCAUAUAAUUUCUUUUCCCUCAAGGUCUGAAUCACUGUCCUCAGGUGCUGCUCAUGAUCUUCUCGACUCCGAGAGUAUACGAGAACAUCAUCAAUAAAGACAAUGACGAAUAAGUCAAGAUAUGGCCGGAACACACUGUGCAUCAAAUGCAUGAAGGCUGGUGGGGCAUUUGUCAGCCCAAAUGACAUAAGAAGGAACUCGUAAUGACCAUACCGAGUCCUAAAAACUGUCUUCGGGAUAUCUGGCUCCCGAUUCUUCAACUUAUGGUACCCAGAACGCAAUUCAAUCUUAGAAAACACUCGUUCACCCUGUAACUGGUCAAACAGAUCAUCAAUACGAGGCAAAGGAUAGCGGUUCUUCACUGUAACUUUGUUCCAUAAUCAAUGCACAUACGCAUAGAACCAUCCUUUUUCUUCACAAACAAGACAGGAGCACCCCAAGGUGAUACACUAGGCCGAAUAAAACCCUUAUCAAGCAAUUCUUGUAACUGAUUCUUCAACUCAGGAGGGGCCAUAGAUACGGAAGAAUAGAAAUAGGUUGAGUGCCCAGCAACAGUCUAAUGCCAAAAUCAAUAUCUUUAUUGGGUGGAAUGCCCGGAAGGUCAACUAGAAACACAUCAGGAAAAUCCCGUACUACUGGGACUGAAUCAACUAUAUGGGUAUCAAUAUUGACAUCUCUAACAUAAGCUAGAUAUGCAUCACACCCCUUCUCAACCAUACGCUGAGCCUUAAGGAAUGAAAUAACUCUACUGGAAGUAUGAUCUAAGGUACCCCUCCACUCUACUCUUGGAGCACCUGCCAUAGCCAGCGCCACGAUUUUGGCAUGACAAUCAAAAAUAGCAUAAUAGGGCGAUAACCAGUCCAUGCCCAAGAUAAUACUGAAAUCUACCAUGCUGAGCAAUAACAAAUCGGCUCUGGUCUCAAAACCAUUAAGAGUAAUCAAACAUGACCGAUAAACACGAUCCACAACAAGAAAAUCUCCCACAGGAGUAGAAAUAUAAACAGGGGUACUCAAAGAAUCCCGAAGUACACACAAAUACGGGGCAAAAUAAGAAGACACAUAAAAAUAGGUGGAGCCUGGAUCGAAUAAAACCGAUGCAUCUUUAUGACAAACCAUAACAAUACCUAUGAUGACAGAAUUGGAGGCAACAACCUCAGUAUGAGCAGGAAGAGCAUAAUAUCUGGCCUGGCUUCCCCCUCUAGGGCGACCUCUACCUCCCCGACCUCCACCUCUAGCUGGCUGAGUAGGUGGGGUAGCAAUUGGAGCUGUAACCAUAGCUUGAGAACUCUGUGGGGCACGCUGUGGCUGAGAAGUUUGUAGAGGUGCACCCCUCCUAAGUUUGGGGCUCCUUUACCAUAUGGUGUGUGUCGCCACACUCAAAAUAAGAUUUGGGAGGAUGUGGCGGCUGUGAGUGGCUCGGUCCAGGUCUGCUAGACUGACCACUGAAAGCACCUCGCAUAGGAGGCACACUAGAUACUGGAGGUGCAUAAUAAGGUUCCUAAGGCCAAGAAGGAGCUGGAAUACCACUGGCUACUGGAAGAGCUGAAUGAAUGGGGUGACUCAUAUGACCCUUACCAUGACAAACUGUAGCUGGCGCAUAAGCACCAGAAUAAUGGCCCCACUCUCGAGACCUCUUGGCCUCCCUCUCCUAUCUCUCCCUAGCAUGCAUACCCUCAGUAUUCCUAGCAAUGCUCACCACCUGCUGAUAAGAAAUAUCCAUCUCUAACUCACGAGCCAUGCUAGACCUGAUACUGGGAAUAAACCCCUUAAUAAAUCGGCAAACCAUCUCGCGAACAAUAGAAAUCAAGGCUGGGUCAUGUCUAGACAAGCUAGUGUAACGGACAACAUACUCCGAGACAGUCAUAGUACCCUGGCGCAAAUGCUCAAACUCUUUGCGCCAUGCGUCCUUAAGGCUCUGAGGAACAAACUCUCUCAGGAACAUAUCUGAAAACUGAGUCCAAGUCAGUGAAGCUGCCUCAUCUGGACUGUCUAACUCAUAGGUACGCCACCACUCAUAGGCGGUUCCUCGAAGCUAGAAGGCAGUGAAAGAAACCCCACUCAAUUCUAAUAUACCCAUAGUGAGGAGGAUACGGUGACACUCCUCUAGAAAUACCAAGGCAUCAUCUGAUGCUAACCCACUGAAUAUAGGAGGAUCAUACUUCUUGAACCUCUCAAGCCUCCGCUGCUCAUCCUCUGAAGCCGCUGCCCUGUCCUUAGGCUGACCUGGGACUGCAGGCGGUAUAGGAAUAAUCUUUGGGACCUGAUCAACAUGCACUCGCUGCUCAGGAGUGCGGGAAGCAGGAGUCUGUUCUCCUCCCUCGGCUUGAGAUGUGGCUGCAGCAAGGGGAAGCAACCCUGCCAGAUCCAAAGUGGUGUACAUGCUCAUGAACUGUGCAAGAGUCUCCUGAAGAGCUGGAGUAGUAGUAGCAGUAAGCAUAUCAGGUGAUUGGACUCCGGCUAGAACUGCUGGUGGUACCUCGAUGGCAACUCGUGCGGGUGCUCUGGCUGCACCACGUGCGCGUCCUAGGCCUCUACCCCGGCCCCAGCCUCUGACAGCUGUAGUAGGGGGCGUGGGUGCCUGAUCAUCUCGGGUAGCAUGUGUCCUCAUCAUCUAGCAAAUAAGUAUAGACGUCUCUGUACUAAUUCGCGAGACUCUAAUAAACCGGCCUGCGAUUCAUGACUCCUAUGAACAUAGAGCUCUGAUACCAACUUGUCACGACCCCAGUUCAUCCUUCGUGAACUAUCAUGACAGCACCUAGUUUCUACGACUACGUAAGCCUAACAAAUGCGAAAAAUAAACAAUUUGCGGAAGAAAAAAUUAAAACCAAGAUAACCGAAUGAAACAAUAUUUAAGAUGUCGCUCGACAUAUACAAUACAACUUUUGAAGCUAACAACAUUUCCCAAAACCUGGAAUCUCAUGAAACCAUAAGCCUUUGAAUGUCUACAAGUUUCUAACUCCAGAAUGUCUAACAAAAUAGGUACAGAAGGGCUAAUACUUAAAGAGAGAAUAGAAAGGGACUCCUCGGUCUACGGACACGACAGAUAUACCUCGAGGUCUCUGGGAAAAAGUCACCUCGCCUCAAAGGUGAUAGGACUGAGUUGAAGUACCUAUAUCUGCACAUGAAAGACAUGCGCAGAAAGGGCAUGAGUACACCACAACGAUACUCAGUAUGUGCCAAGCCUAACCUCGAUCAGGUAGUGACGAGGAAGGUCAGGGCCCUACUGAGGUUAAAUAAAAUAUAAGGUUUAGCAGUAUAGAACAAAAUAGUAUAACUAAGUACAACAGUCAAAGUAACACAAGAUAGAAAGAACAACAACAACUACUACAAACGCAAAGUAAACACGGAAAUAAAUACAACUCAACACAAAGAUAACAACCGGGGAUCUACUAGGAUAUCGUCCUCUAGUCCCAAAUAUAAAUAUCCAUUGAAUUUCCCAGGAUACCGUCCCAUAGUCCAACUCAUAAUGCGAUUGUAUCUCUUAAAAUACCGAUCCGUAGUCCCAAAUAUAAAUACUCAGUACAGGGAAAAUCUACCGGGUGCAGUACCGUACUUCCAAUGUAAAUGUGCAGGGGGGAUCUCCCGGAAUACCGUUCCGUAGUCCCAAAGUAAACAUAUAGGGGGAUCUCCCGGAAUACCGUUUCGUAGUCCCAAAGUAAACAUAUAGGGGGAUCUCCCGGGAUACCGUCCCGUAGUCCAAAAAUAAACACACAACAACAACAAGAAGAAUACACAGUUUAAUUCAAGUUCCAAACCAAGCUAAAACAUGUAUUUCUAACCUAGCAUGCUGUACAUAAUCCAAAUAAGGAAGUUUGAGCAAGUAAGACAAUUAAGUCAAUUAGGCAUGUUUUCCUAAGCUAACAACAGGCUUAAAUUGCAAGUAGUAUAAAUAGGAAAAGAAAAAUAAUCGUAAUUACUUAAUGAAAAUCGGAUUUUCAACAAUUAGCACAAGUACGCACUCAUCACCUCACGUACCAAUAAUACUGAAUUCUAAGGGGAGUUCCCCCACACAAGGUUAGGUCAGCCAUUUACCUUGAACCGGCUCAAAGUCAACCCGNNNNNNNNNNNNNNNNNNNNNNNNNACCACGUUCUUGCCACGAGUACUCAACUCCAAAUGGCCCAAAUCUAUUCAAUUCAAUUGUAUAAUGUAAUAACACUUCAAGUAACUGAUUCUACAAAUAAAUUCUAAGCUAAUAUGUGAAAUUAGGUAAAAUGACCAAAACGCCCUUCGGGCACAUGUCUCGAAAUCGAGUAAAAUUUACAUUUUUAGAAUUCUCAUACUCUCACGAGUUCAGGCAUACUAAAAGUACCAAAAUCGGACCUCAAAUGGUCCCUCAAAUCAUCACUCAAAGCUCUCUAAUUAACCAAGCCCUAACCCCUAAUUUACCACUGAUUUCCUUAAAUUUUCAAGCUUACAAUGAUAAAAAUCACCUCAAUAACGAGUUUAAGGACCAAAGACCUUACCCCAAUGAAUUAUUCAGAAAAUCUCCCUUGAAAAUGCUCCCAAAGCUUCUUCCCGUUUGAAAAGAGGUGAAAAAUAACUCAAAUUCGCGAAGACAACUAUUUAUAUGUUCUGCCCAGCGAAUCUGGUUCUGCGGUCAUGGGAUCGCACCUAUGGUCCCGCUUUUGUGAAAUAAAAGUCGCAUCUGCCACAAUUCACUAUACUCAGAUUUUGUACCUACGAUUACCCAUACGUAGAUGCGGUACCACUUCUGCGGCUCCUGCUGGCUCUCCUCGUCUCCACUUUUGUGAUUAUAACACCGCUUCUGCGGCUCCGCACCUGUGGGACCCAACUGCAGGUGCAAUUAUGAUAGAAAUCAGCAGCUUCAACUACAACUCCAAAUUCCAAAUCCUUCUACCAACCAUCCGAAAUCACCCCGAGACCCUCGGGACCUCAACCAAAAGCACAAACAAGUCUAAUACCACCGUCCAAACUUAUACCAAUCCUUAAAACACCUAAAACAAUAUCGAAACAUCAAAUCAACCACGUAUUCAAGCCUAAGAACUCCAAAACUCUCAAUUUACGCUUUCGAUCAAAAAAUCUGUCAAACCUCGUCUGAAUGAUCUAAAAUUUUGCACACACGUCACAUUCAACACUAAGGAGCUACUCCAACUUUCGGAAUCCCAUUCCGACCCUUAGAUCAAACUCUCACUAUCGAACAGGAAACUUCAAAAAUUCAACUUUCGGUAUUUUAAGCCUAAAUUAGCUUCGGACCUCCAAAACACAAUCCGAUCAUGCCCCUAAGCCUGAAAUCACUCAACGGAGCUCAGCGGAAUUCCAUUUCGAGGCCGUCUUCACAUUGCUCCGACUAAGGUCCAAUUUCUAGAACUUAAACUCUUAUUUAGGGACUAAGUAUCCCAAAACACUUUGAAACUCAAAACCAACAUUCCGGCGAAUCAAAAUAGCAGAAAUAAAUACGGGGAUAAUAGUUAAUAUGGGAUCGGGGCGUAAUUUCUUAAAAUGACCGGCCGGAUCAUUACAUUGAUGUCGGCAUAACCCAGUGACUUUUCCAAAAUAAGGUCCCACUCCCUACUUGGUACCAGCAUAACCUGAUGACUUUCCCAACAUAGGGUCUCACUCCUUAGUUGAUGCUAGCAUAACCUGAUGAUUUUCCGACAUAGGGUUCCACUCCCUAGUUGAUGCCGGCAUAACCCAAUGACUUUUCCAAUAUAGGGUCCCACUACCUAGUUGAUGUCAACAUAACCUGAUGACUUUUCCAACAUAGGGUCUCACUCCCUAGUUGAUGCUAGCAUAACCUGAUGACUUUUCCGCAUAGGGUCCCACUCCCUAGUUAAUGCUAGUAUAACCUGAUGACUUUUCCAGCAUAGGGUCCCACUCCCUAGUUAAUGCUAGUAUAUCCUGAUGACUUUUUGAGCAUAGGGCCUCGCUCCCUAGUUGAUUCCAGUAUAACCUGAUGAUUUUCCGACAUAGGGUUUCACUCCCUAGUUGAUGCCGUCAUAACCCGAUGAGUUUUACAACAUAGGGUUUCCAAUCCCUAGUUGAUUUUACUUUUUAGACAUAGGGUCUCUACUCUCUAAUCUCCUUUUCCUCAGGGAUACACAAUCCUAACUUUUAUUUCUUUCAAUAAUGAAGUAGUUAUAAAUGACUCACGAAUUUUUUUUAGUGAAAACUGAUGCAGAAAAUUUUGUUCGUUUGUUUAUUUUGGUGUCUGAGCAGGUUACACCUCGAGACACAGGGUUUGAGACGAUUAGAAGAAGAAGUCUCAAUCCAGAAUAAAAGAAAAAGAAGAAAAGAAAAAGAAGUGAACUCAAAGUGUAGAAGCGGAGAAAAGACAUGGGCUGCUCAAGACACGAUUGAAGUCAUAAGAUUUGCAUGUCCCGUCUUGAUCCGAGAAGUUGAAAAAGGAAGGGACCAGCACAUGUAGCUAGCAAGCAUCAAGAUUCAGAUCAGAGUCUGUCUGAAGAACCAGCCACGGCUCUAGAUCAAGCUUUAGAAGAUUUGUAGAUAUGAGUCUUGUAACUCGUAGCUGAUAUGUUUAGUUAGUCUUUUCAUUCUGAUUUUGGUCUAAUACGGAGCUCAGCAAGCAGCAACAACAACAACAGUAGUGAAAUUACAGCCUUUCGGUAGUCCUAGCUACCAAAACUUCUAGAACUACACUAACCCGAUUCCUUUAUAAUCAGGGAUAUGUAGGCAACCUCCGAAGCAAGGUUCGGUCAAACUUUUCAAAUACUUCUUAGGGAGUAUCCAAACGGGCAAAAAUCACUCGUAAUUGCUCAUUUUAUCUUUGCCCGAAAACUCUUCAUGUUUUCGAGCAAAGAGGGGCAGCUAUGAACACAUGAUUUUUGCCCGACUAGAAAUACUCCUACAAAAUUUUAAAAAAAAAAGGUUUUCUAAAUUAUUUUCAGUUUUAGAGAAUUUUAUAGGAUUUUCUUAAUUAAUUGUUUGCAUUUUUGGUGCACAUUUAAUAUUUUUAAAAUCAUAGAAAAAUAUUAAAAAAUAUCCAAAUCAUCAUGACAUAGCAUUUUUAGGUUUUAGUUGCAUUUAGAAUUUAAUUUCAUAAAUUAGUUGCAUUCAUUAAAUAAAAAUUAUAAAAAUUACCAUAGUCAUGCCUACAUUUUUAAUUUUAAUUAAUUAGUGUUAAAUUAGUGAAAAUAAGUAUGAUAAUUUUACAAAAAUAGAUUAAUUUAGAAUCUAAAUAGGAUUUCAUUUAGUUUAUUUAGGAUUUAUUAAAGUUUAAAAAUAAGAAGGAGAAGAAAAGAAUGAAGAAUACAAGGGAAAGGGAUAUCAAACCGGAUUGGGCCAAAUAUAACGGCCAAAUUGAUUUUGAAUUAUCCAAGCCCUAACCAAACCCCACCCAGUCCAACUUUUUUUUAACCAAAUGACGUCGUUUGGUUUCAAGCCAUCUCAGCUGUUCAUCAAACGUAAUCGGAUGGUUGGGAACUAACUUUCCCCCUAUAUAACUGUCUGAACGAACCUCCUAACCCCAAACCCCCUCCCCCUUAUUCUCUUCUCUCUCUCAGAUACCUAAACCUAGCCUCCCCCAAAUUCCCUCAGAACCCUAGCCGCCUAGGAUUCCUCCGUCGUCCAAAAAUUGCCUGAAGGUGGCGGACCACUCCCAAAUCUAACCAAAUCACUACCCCACACUCCUCACCUCACACUCAUCAUCAAUCCACCAUCAUGUGAUGACCCAAGAGGUCAUCUCCUGUUUUUAACAGGAAUUCUGUAUUUCGAGGCUUUAAAAAUCUCUUUUAGCAUCACCUCAAUUUGCGUGCGCAGUUCGGACGCAUAGCCGAAAAGCCUAAAUAUGAAAAUAUGUGAAAAAUAAUAAAUUUUAACUAUAAAAUGAAUUAAUUUUACCUCGGUCAAUGUUUUGGAUAAACGGACCCAGACCCGUGAGUUGAUGGUCUCGGAGGGUCCGUAGGAAAAUAUUGGACUUGGGCAUAUGCCCGGAAUCGAAUUUCGAGGUCCAAGCCCGAGAAAUGAAUUUAUUAAAGAAAAUUAUUUUCUGAAAUUGUUUAAAGAAUUUGGAAAUGAAUUUUGAUUAGGGCAUGUUGUUAUCGGGCCCGUAUCUUUGGUUCUGGCACCUGGUACAGGUCUUAUAUGUGAUUUAAGAUAAUUCUGUGAAGUUUGGUGAGAAACGAAAUCCGUUUGACGUGAUUCCGACCUUAAAUGCAAAUUUGAUGUUUAAAGAAGUUUUGAGAAAAUUUUAUUGAUCUUGAGGUUUAAUUCGAUGUUCAUGAUAUUAUUUUGGUGAUUUGAGUACACGAAUAAGUCCGUAGGAUGUUUUUAUGGUUGUGUGUAUAUUUGGUUUGGAGCCCCGAGGGCUCGGAUGAGUUUUGAAUAGGCCACGGGGUGCAUUUUGAACUUAGAAAAAUUGCAGGAUUUUUGUUGGUGUGAUCAAGCCUGCAGGCUUCGCACUCGCAAAUGCGAUAUCGCAAAUGCGAGGGCUUGGUCGCAAAUGCAAACCAUCCUAGGCCUUCCUUAUCUCGCAAAUACGAGUUGUGCUACACAAUUUCGACCUCACAAAUGCGAGGGUCCCUUUAGCAAAUGCGAAAAAUCCAGAUUUCCUAAGGGUUCGCAAAUACGAGCUUCCCUUCGCAAUUUCCAAGCCAGCAGAGGUCGGGGUUCGCAAUUGCGAAUCCCUGUUCGCAAUUCCCACAUCUGAUACCUGCAACUUUUAUACUUAGACGAUUUUAAAACCAUUUUUCAUAUCCUCUCAAAACAUAAACACACUAGAGCAAUUUUUCAAAGGCUUCUUCUUCUCCAAAUCAUUUGUAAGUCAUUUUUAACUCAUUUUCUUCAAUCAUUAACAUCUUUUGAUUUCAACUUACAAUCAAUGAUUUUCAUGGGGAAAUUGGGUGUUUUGGGUAGAACCUAGGUUUUUCAAAAAUUGAGGAUUUAGACCUCGAUUUGAGGUCCGAUUUCAAAAAAAAUUAUAUAUUUGGGUUUGUGGGCGAAUGGGUAAUAAGGUUUUGGUUCGAACCUCGGGUUUUGAACAUGUGGGUCUGGGGGAGAUUUUUGACGUUUUGGGCAAAACUUUGGAAAACUCAUUUUCAUGCAUUCAAAUUUAUUCAUUUAGCGUUUAUUGAUGUAAUUAAGUAACUUUUGACUAGAUACGAGCGAAUUGGUGGUGGAAUCAUGAGGUAAAGCUAUAGUUGGGGCUUGAGUUGUAUUCGUGGCAUCGAGGUAAGUGUUUGGUCUAACCUUAGCUUGAGGGAUUAGAAGUUGUGUCCUAUUUGCUAUUUAUUACUUGUUGAGUCCACGUAUAGGCAUGGUGACGAGUAUCUAUACAUUGGUGUCGAGCAUGACCGUGAGUCUUAUAUUGUGAUUUUCAUGACUUCGUUGUGUUAUUCAUGUCUUGGUUAAGGUUUCUAUUAUUGUGGAAAGUUUGUGGAAAGAAUUGUGACUUAUGAACAUUGAGGAGCGUUGUCUCAAGUUGUAUAACAAAUUGUGAAAGUAUAAGUGAUAAUUGAACCUCUAGAGCAUUGGCUCGAGUUGUAAAGUGAAUUGUGUAUUAAAGGUGAGAAAGAGAAGAGAUCAUUAUGUUGCCCCCUUGAUGGGCUAUUGUUGAGUUGUGGUUCCCUUGCAUUGGUUAUAGAUGAGGUAGUUAGAUGUUGUAACAAGUUUGAUUAUAGCUGAGGUAGUUAGAUGUUGUAACAAGUUUGGUUAUAGUUAUUUCUCCAUUGCGAGGACAUAAUUACUUAUGCUGCCGGAUCCCUUGCCGGGAUAGUGUAGACCUUAUUGAUCCCUUGUCGGGACUCUUGUUAUAAUUGUAAAUAUUAUAUAUGGAUUAGAUUGCACGCCGUAAUAAUAUUAUAUGUGGAUCGGGUUGCACGCCGCAACAAUGAUGUAUGUGGAUCGGGUUGCAUGCCGCAACAAUGAUAAAUGAUAUGGAUCAGGUUGCACGCCGCAACAAAGAUAUAUGUGGAUCAGGUUGCACGCCGCAACAAUGAUAAAUGAUAUGGAUCGAGUUGCACAUCGCAACAGUGUUGUUAUAUAUUGGGAUCGGGUUGCGCGCCGUAACAAUUAUUGAUACAAGUGUGUUUAGCUUGGAUAUUAGUUUCUUUUGUUUUGAUGUGAAUUCUAAGCUGCCCUUAGACUGUUACUCUUGAUUUACUAUUAAUAUUGGUAUACCCCCGUUGCAUGUAUCCCCUCCCAUCCUUACUUGUUCAUUUUUAUUUUAUUUUCCGAUGUACAUUAUAUACUGCACCGAUUUAUUUGGUAGUCUGGUCCUAGCCUCGUCAUUAAUUCGCCGAGGUUAGGCUAGGCACUUACCAGCACAUGGGGUCUAUUGUGUUGAUGCUACACUCUGCACUCUUUUGUUCAGACCCUAGUGUUGUAGACUUCAGACCGCAGUUGGAUUGCUGAUUCUUGUUCAUCAGGCGACCCGAGGUAGCCCUGCAGGCGUCUGCAGGCCUUGGCGUCUCCUUCCAUCUACUAUUCUUGUUUCUUUCAUGCAUUUCUAGAGAUAGUGUUGCAUUUAUUUAUUUCAGACCUUUAUUUGUAGUGUUCUUAGACCGUCUAUGAAACUGUGACACCAGUUCUGGGUAGUCGAGAUUCAAACAGUUUUUUGGAUUCAUAUUUUGAUAGCUUAUUGCUUUUUCUUCCGCUUAUGUUAAAUUCCGCUGUUUAAAUAUUAUUACUUCGAAAUUGUUAAUGAAUAUAAAAUGGGUAAAAAGGUAAAUUGUGCAAAUAAUUGUCUUGCCUAGCUCGUAUUAGUAGGAGCCAUCAUGACUCCCGAGGGUGGGAAAUUCUGGUCGUGACAAGUUGGUAUCAGAGCUCUAGGUUACAUGGGUCUCACAGUUCACAAAAAAGCUUAGUAGAGGCUACAGAGUUAGGAAAAACUUCACAUUCAUUCUUUCCUAUCGUGCGAUUUUAUUCUCUCAGUGCUAAAUUGAAACCCCUACUCUUGUCCUUUCGCGUAUGACGAGGUCACAUACCGCUUCUUCAGCCAAACAAUAGCUCAGACCGGUGAUAGGUCAGCUACGUCUUCGGAGGAUUUAUGGAGGUUGGAUAGGUUCACAAAGCUCUUCACGAGGUUCUCAGGAACAUGGGGAUAGUUGAGACCAAUGGGGUCGAUUUUGCCACUUUUCGCUUGUCUGGAUCAACCAAGACUUGGUGGAGGGAUUUCUGUUUGGCUAGAUCAGCCGAAUCACCAGAUUUGACUUGGGAGCAGUUUACUCAGCUAUUUCUGGAGAAGUUCCUCCCCAUCACUCAGAGAGAGGCCUAUUGGAGGCAGUUUGAGCGUCUCCAGCAGGGUUUUAUGACUGUUACCCAGUAUGAGACCAGAUUCAUCGACCUAGCUCGUCAUGCUCUUGUCAUACUUCUCACCGAGAAAGAGAGAGAGAGGUUAAGGAGGUUCAUUGAUGGACUUAUUCAGCCGAUUCAUUUUCAGAUGGCUAGGGAGACUGGGAGUGAGAUUACUUUCCAGGAGGCGGCCAAUUUGGCCGGGAGAGUGGAGAUGGUUCUGUCGUAGGGAGGUAGUCAUGGGUCGGACAAGAGGCCCCGUCAUUUAGGCAGAUUUAGUGGUGCCUCAUCUAGAGGCAGGGAUUCGUAUGGUAGAGGCCAUCCUCCCAGGCACUUUCAGUCAGUGCUUCAGGUUUCUCAAGGUGCUUCAGGUGGCCGUGGUUCUCACAUGCAGUAUCCAGAUCAGCAGAUCUACAGUACACCACCGGCUCCUAUCAGUGCACCGCCGCUCCAGAGUUUUUGGGAUGGUCAUUCAGGUCGCCAGGGUCAGUCUUAGUUUCCUCAGCCGUAACACUCAGGUGGAUGUUUUGAGUGUGGUGAGUAUGGUCAUAUUAGGAGGGCUUGUCCGAGAUUGGUGGGUACUCAGUCGUAGCAGCAGGGUUCCCGUGCUAUGUUUCAGGCAUCAAGUGUUCCACAGACCGCCCAGCCAGUUAGAGGUGGAGGUAGAUGUGCUAGGGGUGGAGGUAGAGGUGCUAGAGGUAGAGCUCCGACCAAUAGAGGUGGAGGCCAGCCAACUGCAGGCCGUCCCAGAGAGGUAGUCCAGGGUGGUGGGGGCCAGCCCUGAUGUUAUAAUCUUCCAGCCAGGCCUGAGGCUGAGGCUUCCGAUGUAGUUAUCAUAGGUACUGUUCUGGUUUGUGGCAGGGAUGCUUCCGUUUUAUUUGAUCUAGGGUCUACGUACUCCUAUGUGUUAUCUUAUUUUGCACCAUAUCUGGUCAUGCCUAGUGAUUCCUUGAGUGCCCCUGUAUAUGUGUCUACAUCGGUGGGUGACUCUAUUGUGGUAGAUCGAGUUCAUCGUUCCUGAAUAGUUGUGAUUGGAGGUCUUGAGACUCGUGUAGAUUUGCUUCUUUUGGACAUGGUCGAUUUUGAUGUUAUAUUAGGGAUGGACUGGUUUUUACCUUACCAUGCUAUCUUGGACUAUCAUGCCAAGAUUGUGACCUUAGACUUACCGGGUUUACCUUGUUUAGAGUGGAGAGGGACUCCUGGUCAUUCUACCCGUAGUGUUGUCUCUUAUGUGAAGGAUCGACGUAUGGUCGAGAAGAGGUGUUUGGCCUAUUUGGCAUAUGUUCAUGAUUCUAGUGUUGAGGUUCCUUCUAUUGAUUCUGUGCCUGUUGUUCGUGAGUGUCUUGAGGUAUUCCCUUCAGAUCUCGCCGGGUAUGCCACCGGAUAGGGAUAUUGAUUUCUGCAUUGAUUUGGCUCCGGUCACUCAGCCCAUUUCUAUCCCAUCGUAUCGUAUGGCCCCGCCUGAGUUGAAAGAUUUGAAGGAGCAGUUGCAAGACUUGCUUGACAAGGGUUUCAUUAGGCUGAGUGUUUCGCNNNNNNNNNNNNNNNNNNNNNNNNNNNNNNNNNNNNNNNNNNNNNNNNNNNNNNNNNNNNNNNNNNNNNNNNNNNNNNNNNNNNNNNNNNNNNNNNNNNNNNNNNNNNNNNNNNNNNNNNNNNNNNNNNNNNNNNNNNNNNNNNNNNNNNNNNNNNNNNNNNNNNNNNNNNNNNNNNNNNNNNNNNNNNNNNNNNNNNNNNNNNNNNNNNNNNNNNNNNNNNNNNNNNNNNNNNNUAUCAUUAUAAUUGUGGCUCGGUGUUUGAAUUGUCAGCAGGUUAAGUACGAGCAUCAAAGGCUCGGUGGUUCAUUUCAAAAGAUUGAGAUUCCUGAGUGGAAGUGGAAGCGUAUCACUAUGGACUUCGUUGUUGGUCUUCCACGGACUCAGAGGAAGUUUGAUGCAGCGUGGGUUAUUGUUGAUAGGCUGACCAAGUUAGCACAUUUCAUUCCUGUGGCAAUCUCAUAUUCUUCUGAAAGGUUAGCUGAGAUCUAUAUCCGUGAGGUUGUUCGUCUUCAUGGUGUGCCCGAGUCUAUCAUUUUAGAAUGAGGUACGCAGUUUACCUCCCAUUUCUAGAGAGCAGUUCAGCGAGGAUUGAGCACAUGGAUUGAGUUGAGCACAUCGUUUCAUCCUCAGAUGGAUGGGAAUUCCGAUCGGACUAUUCAGAUUUUGGAGGUUAUGCUCUGAGCUUGUGUCAUUGACUUUGGAGGCUCGUGGGAUCAAUUUUUGGCUUUAGCAGAGUUUGCCUACAACAACAGCUACCAGUCGAAUAUUUAGAUGGCCCCAUAUGAGGCUUUAUAUGGUAGGCUAUGUCUGUCUCCGAUUGGAUGGUUUGAGCUGGGAGAUGCUCGGUUAUUGGGUACGGAUCUGGUUUAGGAGGCCUUGGACACGGUUAGGAUCAUUCUGGAUAGGCUUCGUACAUCUCAGUCUAGGUAAAAGAGUUAUGCCGACCGUAAGGUUCGUGAUUUGGUAUUCAUGGUCGGUGAGCGGGUAUUGCUUCGAGUGUCGCCUAUGAAGGGCGUGAUGAGAUUUGGGAAGAAGAGCAAGCUUAGCCCUAGGUUCAUUGGCCUAUUUGAGAUUCUUGAUCGAAUGGGAGAGGUGGCUUAUAGACUUGCAUUGCUGCCGAGCUUAGCAGCCGUGCAUCCAGUGUUUCAUGUCUCCAUGCUUUGGAAGUAUCAUGACGAUCCAUCCAACGUGUUAGAUUUCAGCAUUGUCCAGUUGGACAAGGACUUGUCUUAUGAGGAGGAGCCGAUAGCUACUAUAGACCAGCAGGUUCGUCAGUUGAGAUCGAAGAGUUUUCCUUCUGUUCGUGUUCAGUGGAGAGGUCAGCCUCUUGAAGCAUCGACCUGGGAGUCCGAGUCUGAUAUGCGGAGCCAUUAUCCCUAUUUUUUCCCCGACUCAGGUACUUCCUUCUUCUAUCUGUUCAAGGACGAACAAUUGUUUUAGAGGUGGAGAAUGUGAUGACCCAAGAGGUCAUCACUUGUUUUUAACAGGAAUUCUGCAUUGUGAGGCUUUAAAAACCUCUUUUAGCAUCACCUCGAUUUACGUGCACAAUCCAGACACGUAGUCGGAAAGAUAAUUCCGUGAAGUUUGGUGAGAAAUGAAAUCCGUUUGACGUGAUUCGAACCUUAAAUGCAAAUUUGAUGUUUAAAGAAGUUUUGAGAAAAUUUCAUUGAUCUUGAGGUUUAAUUCGAUGUUCAUGAUGUUAUUUUGGUGAUUUGAGUACACGAAUAAGUCCGUAUGAUGUUUUUAUGGUUAUGUGUAUAUUUGGUAUGGAUCCCCAAGGGCUUGGGUGAGUUUUGGAUAGGCCACAAGGUGCAUUUUGAACUUAGAAAAAUUACAGGAUUUUUGUUGGUGUGAUCAGGCCUGCAGGCUUCGCAUUUGCGAAGCCUGGCUCGCAAAUGCGAUAUCGCAAAUGCGAACCAGCCCAGGCCUGCCUUAUCUCGCAAAUGCGAGUUGUGCUCCGCAAUUCCAACCUCGCAAAUGCGAGGGACCCUUUCAAAAAUGCGAAAAAUCUAGAUUUCCUAAGGGUUCGCAAAUGCGAGCUUCCCUUCGCAAUUUCCAAGCCAGCAGAGGCCGGGGUUUGCAAUUGCGAACCCCUAUUCGCAAUUCCCACAUCUGAGACCUGCAACUUUUAUACUUAGAUGAUUUUAAACCCAUUUUUCAUAUCCUCUCAAAAUAUAAAUACACUAGAGCGAUUUUUCAAAAGCUUCUUCUUCUCCAAAUCAAUUGUAAGUCAUUUUUAACUCAUUUUCUUCAAUCAUUAACAUCUUUUAACAUGAUUUCAACUUAAAAUCAAUGAUUUUCAUGGGGGAAACUGGGUGUUUUAGGUAGAAACUAGGUUUUUCAAAAAUUGGAAAUUUGGACCUCGAUUUGAGGUCCGAUUUCAAAACAAAUUAUAUAUUUGGGUUCGUGGGGGAAUGGGUAAUCGGGUUUUGUUUUGAACCUCGAGUUUUGACCAUGUGGGCCCGGGGGCAAUUUUUGACUUUUUGGAUAAAACUUUGGAAAAUUCAUUUUCAUGCAUUCAAAUUGAUUCAUUUAGCGUUUAUUGAUGUAAUUAAGUAACUUGUGACUAGAUUCGAGCGAAUUGGUGGUGGAAUCACGAGGUAAAGCUAUAGUUGGGUCUUGAAUUGUAUUCGUGGCAUCGAGGUAAGUAUUUGGUCUAACCUUAGCUUGAGGGAUUAGGAGUUGUGUCCUAUUUGCUAUUUGUUUCUUGUUGAGUACGAUGUAUAGGCAUGGUGACGAGUAUCUAUAUGUUGGUGUCGAGCAUGACCGUGAGUCUUAUAUUGUGAUUUUCAUGACUUCAUUGUGUUAUUCAUGCCUUAGUGAAGGUUUCUAUUGUUGUGUAAAGUUUGUGGAAAGAAUUGUGACCUAUGAACAUUGAGGAGCAUUGGCUCAAGCUGUAUAAUGAAUUGUGAAAGUAUAAGUGAUAAUUGAACCUCUAGAGCAUUGGCUCAAAUUGUGAAGUGAAGGUGAGAAAGAGAAGAGAUCAUUGUGUUGCCCCCUUGCCGGGCUAUUGUUGAGUUGUGGUUCUCUUGCAUUGUGUUCUUAGUUGAUAUUACGGAUGCUUAGGUUUAUGAUUCUUUACAUUGGGUAAGGAUUAUGGUUAUUCUCGGGGAACAAGUUUGGUUAUAGCUGAGGUAGUUAGAUGUUGUAACAAGUUUGAUUAUAGUUGAGGUAGUUAGAUGUUGUAACAAGUUUGGUUAUAGCUGUUUCUCCAUUGCCGGGACGUAAUUACUUAUGCUGUCGGAUCCCUUGCCGAGAUUGAUCCCUUGUCGGGACUCUCAUUUUAAUUGUAAAUAUUAUAUGUGGAUCGGGUUGCACGCCACAACAAUAUUAUAUAUGUAGCGGGUUGCACGCUGCAACAAUAAUAUAUGUGGAUCGGGUUGCACGCUGCAAUAAUGAUAAAUGAUAUGGAUCAGGUUGCACGCCGCAACAAAGAUAUAUGUGGAUCGGGUUGCACGCUGCAACUAUGAUAAAUGAUAUCGAUCGGGUUGCACGCCGCAAUAGUGUUGUUAUUUAUUGGGAUCGGGUUGUGCGCUCAACAAUUAUUGAUACAAGUGUGUUUAUCUUGGAUAUUAAUUUCUUUUGUUUUGCUGUGAAUUCUAAGUUGCCCUUAGACUGUUACUCUUAAUUUACUGUUAAUACUGGUAUACCCCCGUAUCAUGUAUCCCCUCCCAUCCUUACUUGUUCAUUUCUAUUUUAUUUUUCGAUGUACAUUAUACUGCACAGGUUUAUUUGGUAGUCUGGUCCUAGCUUCGUUACUACUUCGCCGAGGUUAGGCUAGGCACUUACCAGCACAUGGGGUCGGUUGUGCUGAUACUACACUUUGCACUCUUUUGUGCAGACCCCAGUGUUGUAGACUUCGGACCGCUGUGGGAUUGCUGAUUCUUGUUCAUCGUAUUAGUAGGCGCCAUCACGACUCCCGAGGGUGGAAAAUCCGGGUUGUGACACAUCAAUUUUCCCGAAAACCUUCCCUGAAUUCCUCUAAAUUCGGAUCUAAGAAACUGAAACCCUAGUUUUUCUCAUUUAUUCUUUUCUUCUCCUUUGAUUGACUGUUUCAGUCACUCUAUUCAUCAAAACUUCACGAGUUUUUCAUUUCAAGAAGAUCUGGCCAGAAAAUUUCAAGCCGGAUCUUCUGAAACAAAAGAUCUACUGAUGGUUAAGCGCUGAGGGUUUUAGGCGUCACAACUCUUCUCAUUCUUGUCGACUUAGAGUUGGUAAGGUUCUGUUACUGUUUUGUUUAUCCUCCCUUAUUUUUUCUCUUUUCUUUCUUUUCCCUUGUCUCUCUUACUUGAAUAAUUUUAGUAGUUUAAUAACUCUGUGAUUCUAAUUGAACUGUUUGAUCUCAGCAUGUUAACUCAAAAAAAGGACCUAAUAGUAACUAAUUCUGUGUUUGCCAGUUUAAAAUUAGCAAUCAUCAGUUUUCAAUUUUCUCUUAUUUUUCAUUUUUUUAGAUAGUUGAUAGAUUAAUUCCACAAGCUUGGUUUUGUUGAAAUCACUAUGUCCAUGCCUGUUUCGCUUAUCAGUUGAAGUGAUUAGUUUAUUUCUGAGUUUAGUGAUUUUAAUUCAUAUUAUCAACUGAUUUAAGUCUAAAAAUCUAAGCAAGAAAAAGAGGAUUUAUGAAAGGAUUUAAACAAGGUUUGAAUGGGGAUUUGGGUAAUAACAGAAACGUUAGGGGAUUAAUUCGAAACCAAAAUUAGGGAGUCUACGUCUGGAAUUGCCUAGAAGGUUCUAGAGGAUUCUAGAAGGGACUAAAGUGUAAUGAAAUAACUGAAAUUAAGUCAGAUUUGGUUGAAAAGGUUAAUAACAAGAACUUAAAAGGGUUAAUUUGGAAGUAAGAAUGGAUAAACUUUAGGUAAAAAUAUCAAAAGUUUCUAGUAAUGGACAACUGUCUCUUUUUUGGUGUUGAAAAAUGCUAAAAAUUGGUAAAAAGGACAGUUGUGCUAGGUCUGUUGAAAAAGAUGUUGUAUUAUCCUUUUUUACAGCUGACAUUUCUGAUUUUUAGGAUAGAAUAUUCGCUAUUAUUCUUAUCCUUAUGUAUUUUUCUUAUACUUUAUAAAAAGGAACCUCACUCCCACUCACACACACACGCUAAUCCUCUACAAAUUCACUCACAAAAAGAGAAGAAUUCAAUCUUGAUUUUCAUGCUCUUAUACUGACUUCUUCCCAAAAUGAUAGCUAGGGAUUCCAUUUUAAUACAAAAUGAAGAUUUAAGGUUCAUCUUGAUUUCCUGUUUGUUUCCUAUCACUGGAAUUUUCUGGAUUUCUGGGUUUGAGGUUUUAAGGCUAUUGUCUAUUGCUCUCUACUGUUGUAUUCUUGCAGCUGUUUCUUCCAAUUUGUUUAGAGGCUCAUCACCUUCUUCUAUUUAUUUGUAGCUAGUAAGGUAUAUGCUAAUAGUUUUUCGAAUAAUGUAGUUGGUAUUUGAAUGUCACAUUGCUUUGAGAUUUUAGCUGUUUGUUCACUUCAUGUAUACUGAAUGCUCUUUUCUUUCAUGUUUGAUUGCGAGUUUAAGUUUGAUUUAAAGCAUCAGAUGUGUUGAAUGUCUCAAACCUUAAUGAAAUAAGAAACAAGUGUUAAAAUUAGUUCUUUUUUUAGCUUUUGAUUGUCAAGGUAUACGUGAAGUUCUGAGAUUCCCUAAAUGUUUGAGGUUUCCGAAACUUGAUAGCAUUUUUAGUGUAAAGUCCUCCCCUUUUGAAAUCAUUUUAUUUUGUAUUGUUGGCAUUUGGUAAUGCAGGAGUUUGUGAGUGCUUGGCACAAGGCUCAGAUUUGCGAAUCUAGCCACUGGUUAGUUAGCUUUUUGUAAAUGAUAGGCAACUUCAAGAACAAUACAAAGUUGUUGCUAAUUGAUUACAGGCAGAUUCAAAAUCAAUUUGAUUCUGGCCUAUGCAAACUACAUUUCUUAAUUUAGUUCAAGGCCUAUAAUUAUUCAUAAAAAAUGUAAUUAAGUUAUUUAUUACUAGUGAUGUAUAAAAAUUAUAUUCAUACCUAGUUUAAUUCAUAGUUGUUUUAGUUCUUUUCUUUAUAGCAGCCCAAAUGUUUUUUUGUUCAGAGUUUUGAAAUUCGGCCUAUUUCAUUUAAAUAUGUUUGGCCAGUACAUAGUAAUUCGAGAUGCUCUAGUUUAGUAUAUGUCGUUUGUUCAUGAGAUGUGACUUAAGUAGCUGGUAUAAUGAUCUCGAAAACUAUAAUCGCUGAUGCCUUGAUUCAAUGUUGUCUGUUUCUAGAACCUCGUCAAUCAUGUGUUAAUAUCCAAAAAUAACUUGUAAUUACUUUCAUUAAUCUAUGUUGCAUUACAAAAGAGACUUAGUGUAUCAUUUCAAUUUACUUAACAAAUUUCAUAACAGAUUUAGAUUUCAUACAUUCUGGACAUCCCAUGCUUAUUAAAACUUUAGGAAAAUAAUCAUGAACAUCGUAGUUUGCUUUAGGCACGUUUAAUAAAUCAUUAUGGCCAUGGGUACGGUUCCCGUGGUAUGGUCACGAUACGUAAAUCUCAUUCGGGUGUGCAUUUCAUGUAACCUGACCAUAACUUCAAAUAAUAAUGAAAUACACAUGUUGUAGAUCAUAGGUACAGUUUUCGUGACACGAUUCACAACGUGUACAAAAAUAAACAAAUGUAUGACAAUCGUAACAUGUUCCAGAAAUAAUUCCAUAAAUAACUGAAAGCGGUAUAAAAUUAAAAAUGCACAAUAGGUUCUAAACAUGUGAUAAAUUAGAUAAUUAGGAUAAUUAUUAAUAGUUGAGCGAUCGUGAUAAAAUCACGGAACUCGGGAAUACCUAACACCUUCUCCCGGGUUAAUAGAAUUCGUUACCCGAUUUUCUGUGUUCGUGAACCAAAAAUAGAGUCAAUUUCCUUGAUUUGGGAUUUAAAAUAAACCGGUUACUUGGGACACUAAUAAUUAUUUCAAGUGGCGACUCUGAAAAUAAAAUAAGUAAUCCCAUUUCGAAUAAUGUCACUUUAAUUGAAAAAACUCUCUAUCCCCCUCAGGAAAAAUAGAGGUGUGACAGUAUCCACAAACCACCACCUACCACACUCCUCAAAAAGCACCACAACCUACCCCCGAUCCUCAAAACUCAACCAAUGACCACCACUACUCCCAAAUUCUUGAAGUCCAUCAAAGCAACCCAAUAUACGUGGAGACCAUACCCCACACUCCACAAUAAACCUUAUACAUAUACGAAUCCGCCGAGAAGGACCUUCUCAUCAAUAACAUGGCAGAGGAGCUCAAAACGCUUACUAGUCGAGUUGAAGGUGGUAAAGGCAUCGAGGGUUUGAAUUAUGAAGAUUUGUGUAUCCAGCCGGACGUAGAACUACCAGAGGGUUACAAACCUCCUAAAUUCGAAAUGUUCGAUGGAACAGGUGAUCCGAAGGUACAUUUGAGGACAUAUUGUGACAAGAUCAUGGGGAUUGGCAAAGAUGAAAGGAUCCGAAUUAGCUAUUCAUAAGGAGCCUCACUGGAGAUGCCCUGUCCUGGUACAUCAGUCAAAACCUGAAGAAAUGGGUUAAUUGGGUAAGCAUGGCGUCAAAUGUAAUGGAUCGAUUCAUGUUCAAUACAAAAAAUGUGCCAGAUGUAUUCUACAUUCAAAAUCUUAAGAAGAAACCCACAAAAACUUUCCGUGAGUAUGCUACUCAAUGGAGGUCAGAAGCUGCAAAAGUAAGGCCAGCACUAGAAGAAGAAUAAAUGAAAAAAUUCUUGGUUCGAGCUCAACAUCCACAGUACUAUGAGAGGUUGAUGGUCAUUGAAAAUCAUAAGUUCUCUUAUAUCAUCAAACUGGGAGAAAGAAUAGAGGAAUGAAUUAAAAGUGGAAUGGUGACGAAUUUUGAGGCACUGCAGGAUAUAAAUAAAGCUUGCAGUCAGGGAGUAUCUCUAAAAAGAAAGAAGUUGGUGUAGUAAUGGUAGCCCACAGUCCGAAGUCUCCCCUCACAUACCGAACACCACCACCCACAUAUUAGCCUUCACCUUCCAGAUACCAACAACCCGCCGUCACUUAUCAUACCUAUAACACCCAACCUGCAUAUUACCACUCAUCACCACUGGCUCGCUAACACUACCAAAAACCCAGACCAAAUUUCGACCAUAGAUCACCUAGACAAUACACUCCUAUUGUUGAACCCAUCGAUCAGUUGUAUGAGAGACUGAAGUUUGCCGGUUAUGUCACCCUCAUUCCCGCUAUUGCUAUGGAAAACUUGUCCCAGUGGGUUAAUCCGAACAAGACAUAUGCCUAUCACUCGGGCAUGAAUGGACAUAUUAUUGAUGAAUGUCGCACUUUGAAGGAUAAGAUCCAGACAUUGAUUGACACCAAGGUUAUACAAGCAAAAGAGGCUGCACCAAAUGUCCGCAACAACCCCCUCCCAGAUCACAGAGGUCAAGGGGUAAAUGUGAUAGAAACGGAUGGAGAAUAGGAUCCUAAAGGAUCGAUCGAGCUUAUUCGUGAAGGGGAUGAACCUAAAAUAUCUCCAGUCAUUCUCACACCUAUUGUGGUGCAGAUUCAGCCACCUAUUGAGAUCAAAGUAGCCGCACCAACUCCGUUUGAGGUUGAAGUAACAACUCCCUCAGUCACGCCAACUCCGUUUGAGGUGGAAGUGACCACACCCUUGGCCAUGGGACUAUACUGCAAAGGCGAAAAGGAAAGGAAAAGGGGAAAUGGAAGAAAUAGGAGUUGCACAAGGCAUGAACAGGACCGGUAGGGUUUACACACCCGAGCAUUUAAGAGGAACAAGUAAAGAAGCUGCUCCCAAAUAGCCUAUCAUUGAAACUGGUCUAGACGAUCUUUGGAGAAAGGUGCAAGCAAGAGAAUAUUCUGUGGUUGAUCAUCUGAACAAAACCCCAGCACAGAUAUCCAUUCUAUCACUACUAUAGAAUUCUGAGGCGCAUAGGAAUGCAUUGAUGAAAGUGUCUAACGAAGCUUAUGUACCCAACAACAUCACUAGCGGAGUAAUAGCCAACAUGGUGGAACAAGUGCUGGAAAGCCAUAAGAUCACUUUUCACGAAGACGGGUUGCCACCAGAAGGACAAAGUCACAACAAGGCACUGCAUAUCACUGUGACACCCCUUUUUUACACUUCACUAACCUUCUUAAAAUAAAAAGAUUUGUAAAGCUCGAAAGGGUUUUCAAUAGAAAGUGACAAAAAUUGGUGUUCAAAAGGAUUAACUCAGAGUCGUCACCUGAGAUUUGAUUUCGGUGUGUCAGGCAACUAUUUUUCUAAAAAUGAUUUUUCCUUUUAAAACACUUUGGACUCCAAAACUAAGUCUACACAAGAGAUUUGGGUAAGGGGCUCAUUUGACUCGGGUAGAAGGUGUUAGGCAUUCCCCGAGUCCCGUAACUAGUACGAUUGCAUACUCGAUCUAGGUGGCUUUUAAAAUAUUCAAAUUGAGGUAAAAAUAAACACAGAAAAAAAAAAUAAACAUAUAAGAGGCUCGAGGUCGUUCCCACCUAAUAAAAGAAAAUAAAAAUAAAUAUACUACGAGUUCUGCAUACCCCGUAUAAAAUAUAUACAAUGUCUACGGGGCAUUUCUCGGAUAAUAAAUUAAAGAAAACGACCUCUCGCCCCGAAUAAAAUAAAAGAAGCGACCUACGAUUUACCUACCCGAGUGUGAUCCGCCUAAAUUUGCUGCUAGCGGACCCCAAGUAAAUUAAAGGCAAAACAAUAAGAUUGCCUCAAGCCUAAACCCGCAUAUCCAAUGUUAAUUUAAUGUACUGACUCAAACACAUUUUGAUCAACCCCCACGAUUCAAAAUAAUUCACUGUUUGCCAUUUCCAUUCAAUUUGAUUCUUUCAUGUCUUCAUUUUUAUUGAACAUAUCUUAUAAAACAAAUUCAAAGAAAACAAAUUAAACAAAAUAACAAUGAAACUAAUCAAGGUUAAACAAAGCAUAAGCAAAUUCAAAUUUGUUGAAACAAAGAAGCAUAUCCAUUGAUUGAUAAGAGGGAUGAAAAGAGAUGGACCUGAAAAAUGAACUUGCAAUUAAUAUAGUUUUGGUGGUUCACGGACUGAAUACCUCAGCUACGAAUGGAGUUCAAAACAACAAAUCCAACUCGAACCAAACCAAUGGACUGUACCUCGGACGACAACUCCAACAAUCGAUCACCCAUUUAAACUCAACUCCAUUUCGGAAACCAACACUAAAAGAACAACCUAAAUUUUCAUUAUGUGUUUCGCAUUUGAAAUAAAAAAUGAAGCUAGACUCAACUGAAAAUCAAAAAUUGAAAAGUCAGAAUCUUAAAACCAAAACCUUGUUUUUCUUUGAUUUUUUUUAUGUCUAUCCAUUCCCUGCCUCUGUUUUUAGCUGUUGUACGUGUGUGUGUGGUUGCUGGAUUCCGGCCAGUUAUGGUGAUAAGGGAGCAACGACGACUGGAUGGUCGGCGGCAGUGAGAGGGGGCUGCUGGAGGCGAGUUCUGGCGAGUGAAGGGGAUGAUAGAGGUGACCAACUUUUGGUAUUUUUUGAGAAGGGGUGACAUCUGGUGGUUGAAGAUUAUUUCCGGAUGUCCGACGAGCUUGGUGGCGCAACGGCUUGGUUGGUGAGGAGAUGGCGGUGGAGUAGGUCUUAUGGUUCCUCUCCCUUGGUUGAAGAAUAAGAGGGGACGACUGGGGUGUGGUCUUAGGGUGUUGAAGAUGGAGAUGAGGGGAGGGAGCGACGACUCCAAAUCUCUAGGGUUUAGGGGUUCUAGGGUUAGGUUAGGUGCUAGGGUUUUGGUGUGAAGAAGAUGAUAUGAGGGGUGUGUCGUUCAGAUUUGAAGAAGAGAAGAAAGGUUUAGUUUUUUUUUUAAUUCUUUAAGGGAAAUGGGGUAUGAGCUAACAAGAUUUGGGCUUAGAAGGCUUUUGGGUUUUGGGGUUGGGUCUAUGUAUUAUUGGAUUAACAUUGAGCUAAAAAUUAAAAUUCAUAAGAUAUAGACCCAAAUACAAUUCUUCUUGUACAAUAGUAUAAAGCACCUAUAAAAAUGUAAAAUCACUCCUAAUUAAUUAAAAUAAACUAUUAAAGAUAAACCUAAAAUGAAAAUAUUUUUGGUAUUUUUUCAAGAUUAUAUAAAAAUAAAAAUUCUAGUAAAAUAGUAUGACUACAAAACAUUAAUGAAACUAUUUUUUGUGAUUUUUAUUUUUUGUGAUAAAAUAAAGUAAAAGAGUCAAAACUAGUUAAAAUAGCGAUAUUAGACCUAAAUUAACUAUUUAAACGCUAAAAAUGUGUAAAAUCUUGAGGAGGGUCAAAAAUUACCUGUCUACAGUUGCCUCUCUUUGACUGGAAACACGAAGAGUUUUCAGACAAAGAACGACGAGACAGGUUUUUUGACCCGACCCUUAUUUAGAGAGACCAAAAACUGAAAGAAAGGAGAAUGUGACCGAGCCCUGGCAUCUGAGCUACCUAUAUAUCCUUGGCUAUAAAGGAAUCAGGCCACGCGUAGUUUAGAAAUAGGAACAGUGAUAGAGUAUACCGAGGUGGAGAGCCGAUUGAGGUGCCGUUCCGUCGAGGUUCCGGUCCGCGGUCCUGUUAUUACAUCAAAAUCAAAAAAAUGAAAAAGACUAACUAAGCAUGUCGGGUAUGAGUUACAAGAUUCCUAUCUAUAAGUUUUCUGAAGUAUGAUCUUGAGUCUUGAAUGGUUCUUCAUGCAGACUUUAGAUUUGAACCUUAACGCUUGCUAGCUGCAGGUGCUAGUUCAUUCUUUUUCAGCUUUUCGGAUCAUGACAGGAACAUGCAAAGCUCGUGACUCAGUCAUGUCUUGAGCAAUCCAUAUCUUGUCUCUGCUUCUGCAUUUCGGAUACUUCUUUUUUUUCUUUUAUUCUAGAUUGAGACUACUUCUGUUGGUCAUCUCGGAUUGCCGACUCGCAUUCUUGAGGCGAAUUUUUGUUACUUCUAAAUUGAAUUGAAUUUUGGAAAGAUUUCUUUCGUUCUCCAGGUGGGUGCCUGCAAUCAAAAUAAGAAAACAAACAAAAUUUUCUGCCCCAAUUUGCACUCGGGAGAUUUGUGAGUUGUUAGCAAAACUGUAAACCACUUAUGCUACUGAUGCAAUAAUGAGAAUAAACUAAAGACUCGACUAACAUGUGCGUAUCCUGUGAGUAAACCAAGAAUAUUUGACAAGAAAAUGUGUCUGCGAAGAAUAAAACUUGAAUGACACAGACUAGGAGGUGCGUCUCCUAGGGGUAAAACUUCAAUGACUUAAACUAGGAAGUGCGUCUCCUAGAGAUGAACUUAAAUGACCCAAACUAGGAAGUGCGUCUCCUAGGGGUAAAAUCUCAAUUUAGGAAGUGCGUCUCCUAAAAAAUAANNNNNNNNNNNNNNNNNNNNNNNNNNNNNNNNNNNNNNNNNNNNNNNNNNNNNNNNNNNNNNNNNNNNNNNNNNNNNNNNNNNNNNNNNNNNNNNNNNNNNNNNNNNNNNNNNNNNNNNNNNNNNNNNNNNNNNNNNNNNNNNNNNNNNNNNNNNNNNNNNNNNNNNNNNNNNNNNNNNNNNNNNNNNNNNNNNNNNNNNNNNNNNNNNNNNNNNNNNNNNNNNNNNNNNNNNNNNNNNNNNNNNNNNNNNNNNNNNNNNNNNNNNNNNNNNNNNNNNNNNNNNNNNNNNNNNNNNNNNNNNNNNNNNNNNNNNNNNNNNNNNNNNNNNNNNNNNNNNNNNNNNNNNNNNNNNNNNNNNNNNNNNNNNNNNNNNNNNNNNNNNNNNNNNNNNNNNNNNNNNNNNNNNNNNNNNNNNNNNNNNNNNNNNNNNNNNNNNNNNNNNNNNNNNNNNNNNNNNNNNNNNNNNNNNNNNNNNNNNNNNNNNNNNNNNNNNNNNNNNNNNNNNNNNNNNNNNNNNNNNNNNNNNNNNNNNNNNNNNNNNNNNNNNNNNNNNNNNNNNNNNNNNNNNNNNNNNNNNNNNNNNNNNNNNNNNNNNNNNNNNNNNNNNNNNNNNNNNNNNNNNNNNNNNNNNNNNNNNNNNNNNNNNNNAGUGCGUCUCCUAAAACAAAAUAUAACCUAAAAUACCCAAACUAGGAAGUGCGUCUCCUAGGGGUGAAACUUCAAUGACUAGAACUAGGAAGUGUGUCUCCUAGGAAUGAACUUAAAUGACCCAAAACUAGGAAGUGCAUCUCAUAGGGGUAAAAUCUCAAUUUAGGAAGUGCGUCUCCUAAAAUAAAAUAUAACUUGAAAGACCCAGACUAGGAAGUGCGUCUCCUAGAAGUGGAACUUUAAUGACUCCAACUAGGACGUGCAUCUCCUAGGGAUGAAUUUAAAUGACCAAAACUAGGAAGUGUGUCUCCUAGGGGUGGAAUCUCAAUUUAGGAAGUGUGUCUUCUAAAAUAAAAUAUAACUUAAAGGACCCAGACUAGGAAGUGUGUCUCCUAGGGGUGAUAUGUGAUUUUCUUAAUAGCCUUUGCGCAAGCAAAAUUGGGGAAUUACACCUGAAAAAUUCUAGCUUUGAUAUGAACAUAACCUUCAUCUCUGUUUCACACAAAGAAAACUUGUGAGUUUAAAACAUGGUGGUUAGUUUGUGGCCUUGAUUACGAGGGCGAUUUCUCUUGCAAUUGUCACGACCAACUUGGACUUCAACUUGGAAGACAGUGCAUAUUAUCGACCGAUCGCUUUUCUGGAUAACCCUUAUCACAAGAAAUAUUCCUGAUUCAUUCAAGUCCAAUACCUUAUGCCCGAUGCAUUGCACUUGUGUUCUAACAUUCACCAAAUCUUUGUAUUUUACAUCAAUCCCAAAGAAUAUCUAUUAUCACCAACUCAGUGCACACACUAUUCUCCUGUGUCUUAUGCGAUUUUGAUGUGCUUACCAGACUCGGCUUUGUGUGAUUAAAAAGCUGGUAGCAGAUUUUGAAGUCAUUUCUCACUUGUUUUGAGAAAAACAUAUCAAAAGGGACACAAACAAAACAAAAGGAACAAAAUAAGGUAAAAAACGAGAAGAGAUGGUAUCUAACACGAAAAUAUUUUUACCCAAGAAAAAGAAAAAAGUAGAAACUAAUCUGAUUUGAAGGUCAUCUCCACUGACCAUGACAUGCAUUUUGGAUUAAGCGGCCCGAUUUGUCAAUUGAUUCUAAUCUUCAACUCUUGUUAUGCCUCUAAGUUGUGAAACUGGGAUUCCAAGCUCCAAUUAUCAUAUUUAAUCCACGAUCCUCAGUCGACUUGUAGUGCCCUGAAGGGUUUUCACCAUCAAGCCUCUCUCAUUUUGCUCCUUUUCUCAACUCACUAUCGCCUUACGAUGCCCAUGAGGGUUUUUAUCGAUAAGACUCUCUUAUUUUAUCAUUUUCUCUCUUUGUGCUUAGAACAAGGUAUUACCCAUGAUACAAGAAGAUCAUACUUUCACUACACACUUGAUUUGACAUCCUCAAAGAUUGGUCGAAAGGUCUUUCUUUGGACUGUAAUGUAGGCUUUUGGACAAGGUUGGAAAGAAAGGGUGGCAUGAAGGCUCAAAAUAAUUUAAGAUGAAAGGGUUCAAAAUUACAACUUUUGGAAUAAAAUUUUUGGCAAAAUUCAAACUUCUGCCCCGGUUUCUUGGAGUCUAGGGAUUUUUUUUUUUGGAUUUUUACUUUGAUGGGACCAAACCUCAGAGUAAGGCUGCCUACGUAUUCUUAAAAGGAAUCAGGCCGAACGUAGUUCCAACACAAAAUUGGUUUUUUGUUGUUUUUCUUUUUCUUUUCCUUCUCUUUUUUUCCUUUUUUUCUUUUCUUUUCUUUUCUUCUUGUUCUCUUUUCUUUUUCUUUUUUUUCUCUUUUUUUCUUUUUCUUUUCUAGUUCAUAACUCUAUUUCUGAUUACAAAAGAGGGGUAUGAAACAAAACAAAUUAGGCUCAAAAGGGGUAGCAAAAGAUAGAAGUAUUUGGGUAGCAGAAUAAAAUGCCUUCGUCAUACCAAACUUUAAAAAUGUUAGGUACAAGCAUGCAAUUGAAGAUAAGCAGAGAAAUCAUACAUAGUAUCUACUGAUGGCAUCAAAAUAAACAAAAAGUGCCGACGGGCAAUACCUUUGUCCCAAUGAAUGAUCCUUGCCAAUUAGAAGCAAACUUGACUCAACCUUAUCUUGAUGUGGAAGAAUGUAUUUCAACACUGACUGAUCUACCUCAAACUGCUUGACAAAUAUUUCCUUGUUGUAUGCUCUUAUCAACCUCUUGAUUUCCCAAACUAACUGCCUUAGUUUCACUCAAUUCAAGCUUCAAGUUAUCUUAGAUGCGUGAAUCUUUGCUUGUUCCAUCAAAUGCUUCCUUUUAUCAUAUUCAAAAUUGUGCCAUUGCUUCAUAAUUAAACUAAAUAUCAAGACCAGGCCGAGAAUUAUGGGUGCAUGUCAUGUUACUAGAGUUAGCAUAAAAAGAACUAUAAAGGAAAAGUGACCUAAACAAAAACUGAAUAGAACUAAUAGAAAACAAGAGAUUGCAUUAGACAGAUGGUGAAAAGGGUUUGAAUAAAACCCUGGAACAAUCCUAGAUAACACUAGACGAGUUACUACCACUAAACGAACUAGGAAAAAUAAGAAAAAGAAGGGUUUGAGACACAAGACAAUAUUCGGAUUAUAACCCUAAAAUAACCCGGACAAAAGAAAUGAGAACAAAAUAAACCACCAAAACUCCUCCAUGGCUAGCCAAGAAAGGAGUGUCUUUCCAAUUACCAAGCUCGACAUCUUAGCCACUGGGUUGCACAUCAAAAUUACUAGGACCUUCACCAAUUUCAAUAUCAUUAACUUCAGUCAGCAAGUUCCCAAGAGGAUUCUCAUACUCCCUGUCACCACACAUCCUCCCCACAAAGUGUGCAUCAUCAUGUGUAGGUAAAGGAUUAUGCGCUAUGUUCUGGGUGUCAAUAUCCUGGACCAUAAUUUUCCCUUCUUGAAUUAUUCUUUCUAUCUCCCUUUUCAAAGCACGACAAUCUUCAAUGCUAUACCCUUGGACAUUAGAGUGGUACAUGCAUCGUACAGUAGGAUAAAAAACUUUUGCAUAUGGGUUCGGAGUAUAGCCGAGGAGCGACUCAAUCAGGCUAGACUAUUUUAACUUUUCAAACAAGCUUGUAUAGGAUUCUCCGAUUAGCGUGAAACUAUUUCUUUGCAUUUGUUCCCCUCUAUGACCCUGUUUUAUAGGGUUGUUGGGUGCUCGAAAAUGUUGUGAAGGCGAAAGAGUAUUAUGUGGUUCUGGUGCUCGCCAUAAGGAGUGACCCAAUGGUUGAACAAAUGAUUAGACGUUGUUCGGAGGAUAAUACUGAGGUGGAUUAUGUGGAUCUCGGGGAUAGGUUUGGAGUUGGGGUCAGGGUCGAGGCUGAGUAUAUUGGUAAGGCAGACUUAUUGGUCCAUGUCGUGAUCCUGAGACAACCAUGGCAACAUCAUCAUUUUUCUUCUGACCCGGCAAGCUUCCUAUGUCGUUCUGAAUUACUUGUGUUGUGGAUUUUAAGGCAGAAUAACUCAUGAUCUUACUUGACUUCAACCCAUCUCCUCCCAUUUCUUCCAUUUUUACCACAUCAAUAAAAGGCUUACCCAAAGCCGAGAUCAAAUGCCUAAAGAAAGUAGGCUCUUGAGCUUGAAGAAAGUACUCGACCAUUUCAUCUUCUCCUAUCGAAGGAUUGACUCAUGCAGCACGCUAUCUCCAUCUGAAAUCAUAUUUCGUGAAACUUUCACUGGGUUUCUUCUCUAUCUUGGUCAAGGAUAGGCGAUCUGGGACAAUAUCUAUAUUGUACUGAAAAUGCCGAGCAAAGGCCUGAGCCAAAUCGUCCCAAGUGUACCACCUGCGGGCGUCCUGGCGGGUGUACCAUUCUAAAGCAUCCCACUCAGACUCUGGCUGAAGUAAGCCAUCAACAAUUUAUCUUUUCCCCCAAUGCCUCUUAUUUUACUGCAAUAACCUCUCAGAUGAGCUACAUGAUCCCCAUGUCCAUCAUACAAGUCAAACUUGGGCAUGUUGAACCCAACAAGUAGUUGGACAUCAGGGAACAAACACAAAUCCUUAUAAGCCACACUUACCUGGCUUCCUAACCCUUGCAUAUUUCUCAAUGAUUGCUCCAGACUCUUUACUUUCCUAAACAUCUCCUCUUGCUCCGCGUUCUUGGGUGGUAUCUCAGUUUCAACAUGAGGCUCAAAGUAAGGAGUGUAGGAGUAAGGAUCUGGGACAUUGAAGGUAGGUUCCGGGGCAUAAUAUUAGGUAUUUAGAGCUUGAAAUGCAGGCUCACUAGAGGAUUGGUGGAGGGUAACUUGUGAAGAGGGUACAAAAAUAGGAGCAGAUGUCAGAUCAGGGUAUGAGGUUGUUUUGGCGGGUAGAGCAUGAAAAAUUUGGGCUGAAGUGUCGGGGUAGGAGUGGUAAGGGGUGAAACCUUGUGCGUGUUGUGGGGAAAAGUUACUUGGCAUCUGGGCUUGGGAGAGUGGUGGAAUGGAAGCAGGGUUUUCAGAAUAGUUGGUAAGGAAUGAAGGUGGAGGGUGUCCCUUAUUCCAGGCCCAAUACAUUUCCACCAUCUGAUAUUUCAACCUCCGGACCUCCUCUUUCAGUUACGAUUCUAAUUCUACAAUCUCCCUUGGUGGGUUUACAACCCCAGUGUCUGUUUCUUUGCUAGCCACGGCUACCGUGCUCUUUGACCUUGUGUUGUAUGGACGAAUCGCCAAAGUGCCACAAACUAACCACCCUCUGUUAUGAUAACAAUGAAAGUAACAAAGAAGAGCAAAACAAAUCCAACAUGUUAGCGUUAGGGCAUUUAUCAGACAGAAAUAUCACAUUACGUGCAAUGCCCCUCGCAACAAUUAACGGUUCUAGAAUGACUUCGAGGGUACGAAGGUCAUAUGGCAUCAUCCCAAUUUCACUCUUCUUGCCUCGUUUACUCUUCAUUUUUAUCUUUAGCACUCCUUGGCUUGCUCAUUUUCUUUCCUCUCUUUUCUUUCUGAUUAUUGCUCUUUACUUACAUCACACAGUUUCCUCUCAUUUUUCACGACCUGUAACUUCAUUCAUUUUUUUAAUUAAUGAUUCGAUCGAACUCUAUGUAGGUUUCCUACGUAUCAUGUCCCUUUUGAAUUAGACCAAGCGUAGUUCUGGAAAAGUAAUGAAAAAAAAACUAAAAACAAAAAUCUUUUUGAAUUUUUCAUUUAUAAUUUUUUUUCUUUUCAAGUACAUCAUAGGAAGUACGAUAACAAAAGACUCAACAAACUUAACUAGAUUACGAUAAACUGUGACACCACCUAAAAUAAUCAAUACAACUAGACAAGACAUGUAAAAUAAAAGACAAAACAUACUCAAAAAUAUAAAAAAAUCUCCUCAAAUAGCUCUUAAAUACGAUGGUCAUGAGGUAUCUGUCAUGCUCAAGCUCUGAUAAAUGGAUUCAUACCUGAAUGAGAAAAAUGAGACCAAACAGAGUUAAUGACUCGAGACACUAUCUAUUGGACACGUACAAGUCACAAAUGAGAUAGUUUUUGCGAAAAGGCUUAAGUAGCCAAAAGUGACUGAAAGUGCAAAACUCAAUAAGGAAAAAUCUCAUAAAGGCCUAUAUGGCCUUAAACUUCAAGGAAUCAUAACCUCUAAAGUUACUUUGCAAAAAUGACCCCACUUUGCAGAAAUGGCCUAUGUGGCCAAAAAUGGCUAAGCAUGCAAAUUUGACAGGAAUGGACCUUAAACAAAGAUGACACUUUGUUGUGGACUUAGGACCUAAGACAUGGGUCACUGAACCACUUUUACGAAAAUAACCCUAUUUUGCAAGAACAGCCGAUGUGGCCAGAAUUGGCUAGACAAUGCAAGAUUUGGCUAUGACCCCCGAAGCCAAGAACCUAAGACUCACUAGGAAGACCGGACCCUAUGUGGCUGCUUACGUAUCCCGCCCCAAAAGACGAAAAUCAUGUAUGCAUAGUUCGGGAAGAUUAAAUACGGGAGAGAAUUAAAAAAAAUACUGAUUUGGAGAAAACAUAUUUUUGUCUUUUUUUUUUGAAAAAUGAUGAAACAUGUAAAAUCUUUUGGAUUUUUUUUUCACUUUUUUGAUUCAUUUUUUUUUUGAAAAAAAGAUGGGAAAGUGCAAAAUCUUUUUUGGAUUUUCAUUUUCAAUUCUUUUGGUCUUUUCUUGAAAAAGUUAUGAAAGAAAAAUAUAAUUGGGCCCUACUUGAUUCAUUUUUCACUCUUCUUUUCAAAACAUCGGUCUGCCAAACGACCUUUCUACCUUCGUAGAUGCAACAUUUAGCACAUAGGAUGAUUGAAUGUCAUUUUGGGCUAGCGAGCCCAUUUGACACAAUUUGUACAGGUUUUCUACAAAGGACAAGGCACCUAGUACCGGGCCCUGCUAGGUCAUAAUGAUAUGAUGCAAAUAAAAAUGACCUAAAGGCUGACCUAUGUUUGGGGUUCACUAAUAAGGCAAUUCGGGGGAGCGUAUGGUCGAUAGUGGCUGCUCAAGCUUUCCACCCACUCCAUACGUCCGACCCCCCUCCUAAAAUAAGGGUGACUCAACAAAGAGUUCAUGUACGCGAGGCGUACUCCGAGACUUAUUGCAGAAAGAAUUGACUCAGGAUAAUGCAUAUGAUGACAGUUAUAAAGAAGUACCACAUAAAGGAAAAUAUGUAAACACAUAAAACAACUAGAAAAUAAAGCAACAUAAAAAAAAUAAAAAUCAAAUAAAGCAAAUAAAGAAAACAUAAAAACCUCAACCGUAUAUUCUAAAAAGCCAACAAAAUCAAGUACCAGCUCGAACCUGCAACUCCCCAGCAGAGUCGCCAGAGCUGUCACACCCCUUUUUUACACUCCACUAACCCUCAUAAAAUAAAAAGAUUUGUAAAGAUCAAAAGGGUUUUCAAUUAGAAAGUGACAAAAAUUUAUGUUCAAAAGGAUUAACUCAGAGUUGCCACCUAACAUUUGAUUUCGGUUGGUCAAGUAACCGUUUUUCUAAAAAUGAUUUUUCCUUUUAAAAUACUUUGGACUCCAAAACUAAGUCUACACCAGAGAUUUGGGUAAGGGGGCUCAUUUGACUCCGGGAGAAGGUGUUAGGCAUUCCCGAGUCUCGUAACUAGUACAGUUGCGUAUUCGAUCUAGUUGACUUUUAAAAUAUUCAAAUUGAGGUAAAAAUAAACACAUAAAAGAGAAAUAAAAACACAAGAGGCUCGAGGUCGUCCCCACCUAAUAAAAAAAAUGAAAAUAAAAAUACUACGAGUUCUACUUUCGACCUCCAAAUACAAAUACUUUGGGGUAUACCCCGAUAAAAUAUAUACAUUGCCUAUGGGGUAUUCCCCAGAUAAUAAACUAAAGGAAACGACCUCUCGCCUCGAAUAAAAUAAAAGAAGCGACCUACGAUUUGCCUACCCAAGUGUGAUCGGCCUAAAUAUGCUGCUAGCGGACCCCAAGCAAAUUAAAGAUAAAACAAUAAGAUUGCCUCAAGCCUAAACCCACAUAUCCAAUGUUAAUUUAAUGUACUGACUCAACACAUUUUGAUCAACCCCUACGAUUCCAAAUAAUUCAAUGUUUUCCAUUUCCAUUCAACUUGAUUCUUUCAUGUCUUCAUUUUUAUUGAACAUAUCUUAUAAGACAAAUUCAAAGAAAACAAAUUAAACAAAAUAACAAUGAAACUAACCAAGGUUAAACAAAGCAUAAGCAGAUUCAAAUUUGUUGAAACAAAGAAGCAUAUCCAUUGAUUAAUAAGAGGGAUGAAAAGAGAUGUACCUGAAAAAUGAUCUUGAAAUUAAUAUAGUUUUGGCGGUUCAUGGACAGAAUACCGCAACUACGAAUGGAGUCCAAAAUAGCAAAUCCAACUUGAACCAAACCAACAGACCAUACCUCGGAUGGCAACUCCAACAAUCGAACACCUGUUUUAACUCAACUCCAUUUCGGAAACCAAUACUAAAAGAACAACCUAAGUUUUCAUUAUGUAUUUCGCAUUUGACAUAAAAAAUGAAGCUAGACUCAACUGAAAAUCAGAAAUUGAAAAGUGAGAAUCUUAAAACCAAAACCCUAUUUUUCUUUGAUUUUUUUUAUGUUUGCUCGUUCCCUGCAUCUAUUUUUAACUGAUGUAUGCGUGUGUGUGGUCGCCGAAUUCCGGUCAAUUAAGGUGAUGAGGGAGUAGCGACGACUGGUUGGUCGGCAGCAGUAAGAGGGGGCUACUGGUGGCUAGUUCUGGCAAGUGAAGGGGAUGAUAUAGGCGGCCGAUUUUUGGUAUUUUUUGAGAAGGGGUGACGGCGGGUUGUUGAAGAUUGUUGCUGGACAUUCGGCGAGCUUGGUGGCGCGGUGCCGUGGCUGGUGAGGAGUGGCAGUGGAGUAUGUCUUAGGGUUCUAGGGUUCCUCUCCCUUGGUUGAAGAAGAAGAUGGGAUGACUGGGUGUGGUCUUAGGCUGUUGAAGAUUGAGAUGAGGGGAGGGAGCGGCGGCGGCG